GCCUGGGAUGACAGCUUAUGCUGGUUUUUAUGAGGUUUGCUCCCCUAAGAAGGGAGAAACUGUGUUUGUUUCAGCUGCUUCUGGAGCAGUUGGUCAACUUGUUGGACAAUUUGCAAAGAUGUUAGGUUGUUAUGUUGUUGGUAGUGCUGGAAAUAAACAAAAGGUAAGUACUUCAACAUUUCAUUCUUGAAUUUUAUUAGUGGCUAAUUAGUUAUCUUACUCAUCUUAAUCAUUGUUAAAUAAUCUAGCUAUCUCAUCUAUUCAUUAUUAUUAUUAAAGGUUGAUAUGUUGAAGACCAAGUUUGGUUUUGAUGAAGCGUUUAACUAUAAAGAGGAGCAGAAUUUAGAUGCAGCUUUGAAGAGGUAAGUAAUCUUUUAAAUUUCCCACAAGAAAACACUUAACUAAUAUGGAAAAAAACAGUUUCCACGAUGAAGGUGUAGGCGACGACUUCUUUUUAAUUUUUUUUUUAAGCCAUCACCUUAACGGUGUGUGUGUGUUGGGGGGGGGGGGGGGGCUGCUUGACCCCUACCAUGUCUAUAACAUCCAAAAAGUUACAAAAGCAGAAGGGGACAUGGACCUAACCUCUUGAUAGUGAACAACGAGGAUAAACUAAACAAUCUACCGAAAGACUAAGAUGACAUAGACUUUCAACUAUAAGCAAAAUACAUUGGUUCAACUAACAAAAAAAAAUUACAUUUGUCGUAUCUUCUCCUUAUGCUAAAGUUGCCACUUAUCUAGUCGAAAUAGUCCCUUCACCUCAGAAGAAUUAAGUGUGGUGGAUUGAACAUUAAGGGCAUAAAUGAAAAGAUAGCUAAUAAAACGCUAAAGGUAUGUAUGAACUGAUAGUAUAACGGAAAAGCAAUACUAGACCUUUAAUUUUCAAUAAUAUAGGAGUAAAUAUGACCUUUUUUUCGUUUUGGUUUAUUCUAUUAGGUACUUCCCUGAUGGAAUUGACAUUUACUUUGAGAAUGUUGGAGGUAAAAUGCUUGAUGCAGUUCUUGUGAAUAUGAAACUUCAUGGUCGUAUUGCUGUGUGUGGAAUGAUUUCACAAUACAACCUUGACAAGACUGAAGGAGUGCACAACUUGUUUUGCCUCAUCGCGAAACGAAUCCGUAUGGAAGGAUUUCUUGUUUUUGAUUACUAUCAUCUUUAUCCUAAAUAUCUUGAAAUGAUCUUUCCACAAAUAAAGGCUGGUAACAUUGUGUAUGUGGAAGACAUAGCUGAAGGUUUUGAAAGUGCUCCUAGUGCUCUAGUUGGUCUCUUCUCUGGUCUCAAUGUUGGAAAGCAAGUUGUGAUGAUUUCAUGUGAAUGAAUGGAUUUGGAUCUUUUCCAUUUUCUCUCAAGUUUUUACUUGAAAGGAAAGAUAUUGUGUCAUGGUUAAAUACUUAAUGCACAAACAUUUCUAUCAUGUAUUUACUAAUUCUAUGUAUGGUUUGAAAUAAUUAGUCAUAAAUUGAUAAUUUCAUACUAGAUUUCAAGUCAGUUAUACCUAGGUACAUGUAUUUUUGCUACUAGGUACAUUUUGAAAUGCAGAUACAUAGGAAGAGAGGGAGCGAGAGAGGAGAAAGGAGAGAUGAGAGAGGCGAGAGGCAAGCGAAAGAGUUAGUGUAUCCCAGAUAUGUGCAAAUUACACUAGAUAAUAUGAGAUAUCAUAUACAAUUCAUAAACAUUCUGAAAUACAGAUACAUAAGGAGAGAGGCGAGCGAGAGAGGGAGAGAGGCGAGCAAGAUAAGAGAUAUGAGUGAGAGAGUCAGUGUUUCCAUCAUAUAAAUUAUGCUUGAAUACAGUAUGUCAGAAAUAAAUUGGACCUAAUUUUAAUUUAUAUAUCCAAGAUACAUAUAUUUGGAUGUGUCGCAUACAUGUGUUUGGGAACUAACAUCUGACACAAACAAUAAUUUCAAAGAGGCACAUAAUUAGACUCUAAACUAAAGAAAUUCUUAUCGUUUGCCCUUGAACUUAUUUAGGCAAAUAAAAGGUCGGAAGAGAUUUAAGAUUGCGAGAUUAAUAAUAAUUUAUAAAAUUAAAUAUAUAAUAUAGUAUUAAUUAUCUAAAUCAUAAAAAAGAUUUAUUUUGAUUAACUAUGGGUGUGUUUGGUAUGUGUUGACACCCAAUUUUGGACCUCCACAAUAUAAAUUAAUCAUCGAGCUUCCUAAAUUCCAAAUGAUUUGAAAUAAUUGGCUUUAUAAAAUUCAAAAUAAUUUUCAAGUCAUUUUAAGUAGUUUUGUCAUUUUUAUAAAUUCUAAAAAUAAUAAAUAUGAUAUUUUAUAUAAUUAUGUGUCUAAUUAGUAUAUUUUAUGAACGUUCGAAAAUUGUCUCAAAAGGAUUUUAGUCUUAUUUAAAUAUUUGGUUAUUUAGUCGUUUAUAUUAUUAAAUUAAUUAGUUUAUAAUUAAGUUAAUUAUUUUAUUUUAUUAAGAUUAAGAAUCUCGUUAAUUAAUUAAUAUCAAUUUAUCUUAUUUAAUUACUAGUCAAAUCUAUCUUAACUAACUUAAAUCGACUAAGUUUUAACCCCUUUUUAACCGACCCCACCCCUAUUUCUUUACAAUUCACGGCAGCCCAUCACAUAACCCAAAAAUCGGCCCAUUUUCUCCUUUUCCUCCAACCUGUCCAGCAGCCCACAACAAUUCCUAACAAUACAUACACGAACCGACCCCAUCCUCCUUAUUUCCCUCAACUCAACUUGUACAGCAACUAACACCAAUUCCCACGACCCAGCCCAGUUGCCCCUUUAACCCGGCCCAAACCCACGUUAACAAGAACAUUCAACCCCAAUGUUUCAUUCAAUAUUCACGAAGGAACCUAGAAAAUCCCCCCCAACGUCCCUUUCGGUUGGUACAAUCGCAGCAGGCACGCCUCUGUCCUCCUUUCCCCUUUCGGAAUGAGCCAAAAUCUCAAGGAAAAGGUGUUGGUCCGAAUUGAUGAAGGAAUUCAAUUUUUUGAAUUUGGAAUUCGUCCAAAAUCUACCGGAUUUCCCCCGUUUUUUUUUUAAUCCAAAAAAUUUCCCUUCUAUAUAAUUGUUUUGUUAUUCACUGUUGAAGGAGGCAGAGGUAAUUCUCAACUAAGACUGGGAUAUAGAGAAUUAUAGUUCAUAAAAAGGGAUUGGGAGAAGUUAGCAAACGGAGAAUGGAUAGCUGAACAAAAGUAUUUUCAAAUAGCUUCAAAAAGAACCUGAGUUUUUUUUUUUCUUUGAAUUUGGUUUCUUCUUUAUCGGAUCGUCGGGGUUUGCCGGAGUAUUCGGAAUCCCAUUUCAGUGGUGAAAGUUUUUGCUCGCUGCUCCGCUCGUUGUUGUCCCGUUUGCUGCACUCAGAAAGGUAAACUCUAUUUCUGCUCGUGUCAUUUAUUUCUUAAGUUGUAGUUUGUUCACUGCUUGAAAGUUAUAAGCUAUGUGAAUGCUGAAAUUUGAAAAAAUAAUCUCAAUUUGCUCUUAAGUUCGAAAUCAGUGGCGUUUCCUUGCUUUAUUUAUUUAAAUUUUCUAGUUUGUUUGGUUAGACGUUCGGCAGACUCAAUGUGAUUUUGAGUUGCUCGCCUUUCUGUUUCCUUAUCAUCUCGCUGUUUAUCUUGUGGGUUGGCUGUAGGUUAGUAUGAAUGUGAAUUUUCCGAGUCUAUAAUGCUGAUUUUUAUAGUUUGUUAGACAACGGUUACUUCAUUCGUUUAGCUAGCAUGAAUCGUGUAGGUUGAAUAGUUUUAUUUCUUCUCUUGUUUGGUGCUUGUUCCAUCCGUGUUCAAUGAAGUAAAAAAUGGUUCAUAUAUCAUCUACUUACCAUUUUAAAAAUCUCAUUCACGAUAGUGAUAAUCGUAUAGUCUCCAUCACCCCUCAUGUUUAGUCGAUUUAUCUUAGGUCCACUUCAGUCUGAUUUGGUUAAAAUUGUUAAGAUGUUAACUUGAGUCAGUUUGCUCCGUUCCAUUUUUUGCUAUUCAAAGCAAGUUCGGUUGUUUGUAUUUCUUCCUUAUUCUCAUCUUUGAAUCAUGCCAAGUCUUGAAAAGGGUAAGACUUAUGUAUCAUUUGUGGUAUUUUCUUUAGUUGCUAUCAUCGUUUGCUACCUUAUCGAUGCCGUGGAAUAUAUACUCACUAUUAUAAGAAGCCUAUGACUGGUCUCUCUCAUCAUGAAAACAUAUGUUCAUCCUUUUCCUUACUAUUUGAGUGCAUUGAGCAGUGGAAGGGCAGUAGUCUUCUCACUAUUAUUUUAUUAUUAUUAUUCUUAUUGUUAUUAUUAUUUUCUUCUCAUAAUAAAACUAUUACUUGUUCACCUAAGGCAUUAACAUAUUAGUUUGCACGUGAUCUUCUUUCCUGUUGGUUUUACUAAUUUGUUUGAGUUGGUAUUCUAAUCCCUUAAAUGCAUUAUUUUUGCUCAAGUCAUUGAGGUUUAGAUUCACUAAUAUAUCUCUUCUCUUCUCUAUUGUAUAUGAACUCCGCUCGGGUCCAAUUUGGACUCCACUUCUCUACUUUGCAUUUCGGAUGGGCCAUAAAGACCCCAAAUCCUUCUUUCCUUUCGAGUCGGUACCCCAGCAAGCAGGGACUGAUGUACAGGUCUUGGAGAAGUCCAAAACGGAAUGUAUACAUGCUGAUAUACAGCAAUAUACCUUGAUAUACGCUUCAGAAUAUUGAAUUAUAGGUGGAAAAUGAAUCGCAAGUACUUGGGAGGCUGAAAUAUAUUGUAUACGGAGGGUAUGCAUGCCAAUAUAGACGAAAAUGAGUCGAAGUGCGACCCAUAUACAACAAUAUACCUUUGCUGUAUACACAGGUGUUUGGGAGCGAAAAUGGGCUGAAGGAGGCCCAAAACGCAGCAAUAGGCCCAAAUUUGACAUGCUCUUCCUUUCCCUCCUUUAUUAUUUUAUUAUAUUUGACUAACGCUUUGAUUAUCUUAUGAUUUAACUUAAUUAAAUUCCUCAAGAAUGGUCAUUUCAAUUUAUUUUCGAAUUAAAGUAUAUAUAUUUUAUUACUUAGUUUUAUUUUAGUCUUGUUGACAUUUUAUGAACCAUUCCCCUUUAGUUCAUUCCACCUUAAGAUAAAUAAAAAAUGAUAAAAAUAAUUAUAGUAAUAAAAAAUAAGUUAAAAUAAAUGAGCUCUUUUUACUUAAUUUAAUUUUUUUUAAAAAUAAAUUAGUUAAAAUAAAUGAGUUCUUUACUUUGUUAAACUUUCAAAAUUAGUCAAAGUCGUGAGUUCUUUACUUAGUUAAAUUCUAAAAAUAAUUAGUUAAAAUAAAUAAAUUCUUUUACUUAAGUUAAAAUUUUAAAAUUAGUCAAAAUCAUUUUGGUCAAAUCGCCGGUCAACCGCGAGUUAGCGAGCAUUCCAAGGGCCUAAUACCUUCUCGGAAUGUACAUUUGAACUCGAACCCUUUUUCAAUUGAUUUUAUCUGUUUAAGUCUUUUGAAAAAUCUUGUAUUUUUCUUUAUUUUUUACUAAAAAUCAAGUGGCGACUCUGUUCUUUUGGAAAUUCGAUUUCUCUUAAAUCAUAAGUUUAAUCGAUUUUUCGAAAACUAAGUCAUUUUCCUUUUACAUAUAUUUUUAAGUAAAACACUAUGAAGGAAAACAUUUUCCGGAAAAUGUUUUGGAAAAUGUUUUCCAAAUUAACUCAUUUUCCUCAAAUUUAAGGAAAAUGACUUCCCUUCAAAACUUAAGGAAAACAUUUUCCAAAACUCUCUUCCAACUUCCCAUUAAAAAAAAAAAUUGUUGAAAAAAUCAGUUUAUUUGGUCCCUACCCUCAAACCAGCCCCCCAACCACCCCACAAAAAAAUAAUAAUUUAAAGUUUGUUUUUAAAUUCAAUAUUUUUACCCCACCCUCACCCCUACCACCACCCUCUCCCCAAAAAAAUAAUUAAAAGUUCUUUUUAAAAGAUAUUUGUAAUUUCAAUUUUUUUUAUUUUUUUACCCCUACCCUCGCCCCCCAUCAGCCCCCUAUUACCCCCCACCCCUUUCAAAAAGAAAAAAAAUUUAAGAUUGUUUUUNNNNNNNNNNNNNNNNNNNNNNNNNNNNNNNNNNNNNNNNNNNNNNNNNNNNNNNNNNNNNNNNNNNNNNNNNNNNNNNNNNNNNNNNNNNNNNNNNNNNNNNNNNNNNNNNNNNNNNNNNNNNNNNNNNNNNNNNNNNNNNNNNNNNNNNNNNNNNNNNNNNNNNNNNNNNNNNNNNNNNNNNNNNNNNNNNNNNNNNNNNNNNNNNNNNNNNNNNNNNNNNNNNNNNNNNNNNNNNNNNNNNNNNNNNNNNNNNNNNNNNNNNNNNNNNNNNNNNNNNNNNNNNNNNNNNNNNNNNNNNNNNNCCCUACUAGCCCCCACCCCCCAAAAAAAAUUAAGUUUGUUUUUAAAAAAUAUUUUCAAUUUCAACAAUUAUUUUCUACUCUAAUAAAACUAAAAGAAAUUUUUCAAAAACAUUUUUCAUUCAUAAAUCAAACACUAAAUGUUUUUUCGGAAAAUAUUUUCUACUCACCAACCAAACAUGAGAAAAUAAGUCAAAAAUCAACUUGUUUUUCAAGAAAGCAUUUUCUAGGAAAAUAUUUUCCUUCGUACCAAACACACCCUAUAUCUUAGUCAUUCAAUUUUACUUAUAUCAAUUUAGAGGGAAAAAUGAAGAGGAGUCGGAUCCAGAUAUAUUCUUGGACAACUCUUGAUUCACAUAAAUUAAAGUGAGAAAUGGCAGAGGAAGUGAUGAACAACAAACAGAUCAUUCUAAAACAUUAUGUGGAAGGUUAUCCUAAGGAAUCUGAUAUGGAAUUUAAGAAUAACAACAUUAAAUUGAAUGUUCAAGAAGGUUCUAAUGUUGUUAUUUUGAAGAAUCUUUACUUGUCUUGUGACCAUUACAUGCGUUCACACAUGAGCAAACUUGAGGGUAGCUAUUUUCAGGUGUUGACGGAAUAUAUUCUUGUGUCUAUCACAAGUGCAGUAACAGUGACAAUAGCGGGAGUUGUAAAGGAGGCGGUAACUAUCUUGGUACGUCGUAGUAGGUUCAACCUUUAAAGUGUCUAUCUAUGUAUUAUGUCAAAGCAAUUUUAUGCACUUUUAAGUCCUAUUUUUGCUGGUUGACUGAAGCUUACUUACCUCAAAGAUAUUGUACUAUUCGAACACUGAUAGACUGAGAUAGGACGUGGAUUGCUUCAAUCUUGAAUAUUUUUCGAUAUUUGUCAAAUUUCUAUGGUCUAUGGUGUCCAUGUUUUCAACAAUUUGUGUAAUAGCUGGUAAUUUGCUGCCCUGUUCAGGUUGCUGUAUUUUAUUUUCACGACGACUUUACCUGGAUGAAAGGGUUCGGUCUCAUGACGAUAAUGUUUGGUGUCAGUUUGUUUAACUGGUACAAGUAAGUGACUGAAUCCUUCAUGUUCUAGCAAGAAGUUAUCUCGUAAUGUCCCGUUCUGCACUGACAUUAAAAUUAGAUUUACUGAACACAAUAUGUGUGUAUUCUGUUUUACGUUAUCAAUUUAUGAUCCUCAGUUAGUAGACACCUUAACUUAGCCUCAACUGAUCAAAGUAAACACUCUAACUUUAAGAAUACGCAUCUAGACACCUCAACUAGUCCCCACUGUGUCUCAUGGACACCUGACACAUAAAUUUUGGAGGUGUCUAUGUUUGAUCCUUUUGUAAGUUGGAGUGUUCAACUGACACAGUGGAGACGAGUUGAGGAGUCUGGAUGUGCGUUCUCAAAGUUGGAGUGUUUAAACUAUUCCUAUCACUUUAGUCGUCCUUAAUCAAAACGAACUUAAGCUAUAGUAGUUCAAUCAAAUUGUUGAUAUCGAGCCAUUUUUAGUCGAAAAUGGGACUUCAGCAUGUGUUGAAGUCGUAAGUUUUCCAUUUUUGUUACUUAGGUAUGACAAAAUUCAUAAAGGUAGCACAAGUGAAGAUGAAACUGCAGGAUCACCAUUAGGAAAUGCAGCUACCAAGUACGUUAUACUUGAAGAAAUGGAAGACCAAGACCAUGGUCCUUGAAGUUUUACAUAUGACAUUCUAACUACGCUGCGUACUGAUGGCAUUUUGUAUUUGCAACGGAAGGAAGGGGACGAAAAAAUGCGUAGAUUUUCUAGCAAAUGAAAGUCAAGUCGUAUACAUGAAGAAGAUUUGUUAAUCAAGGAAGAUGAGGAAUUUGAGUUUUUUCACCUAGUUGACUUUAAGACAUGUUGCUUAUAGAAGAUAUUAGGAAAUAUGUUACUCCCUAUGUGCUAAAAAAAUAAUGAUAUACAUUUUUAUACUUGGUAGAAAUUUAACUUUUAAACUUCUCGUUUUACCCCUAAAGUUAGGGGUGGGCGUUUGGUAUUCGGUUCGAAAUUUCUAAAUUUCGAGUUUGGUAAUUCGAUAAUUGAUAGUAAAAAAUAGAUAUCAAUUAUCGAAGAUUUAAAUUUUGAUAAUCGAUAAAUCAAACUUCGAUUCAGUACGGUAUUUAGUAAAUACCGUAUUGAAGUUGUAGUCUAUUGUAUAACAAAGUUAGUGGGAUAAGAAACAAAUACCCCCUAGACUAUGAUCAAAAUCUCAGAGACACACCUUAACUAAACUAAGAUCCUAUUACCCCUGAACCUUUUUUUUUUUGUAAUUUUGUACACCUUAUUAGCUUACGUGGCAUCCAAACAUCUCUCAUGCACUUCAACUCGUGGAGUCACAGAGUGUGCCACAUAGGGCGGGUUUAUACGGAAUGGGGUGGGGCGGGGCUGAUUUUAAUUUUGCGGGCUAAGACAAAAUCUGCCCUGCACCGCCCCAUUGGCAUCCCUACUCACCCACUUCAUUACGCAAAUCAACAUGUAUGGGUGACUUGAAAAAGAAACUUACAAAAUGUUACUAGUUAAGAACUAACUACUUAAAUACACUACAUUACAAUAUUUUGAAUCUUACCAGAUUUUGGUGCGUCCAGAAAAUAUGUACUCCUACACUUGAAUCUGAAGUUUAAGAUUGGACGUUACAAUAUACAGCUUGAACUCCUUUAUUUUGACUAUUUUUUUAAUAUUAUUUUUCUAGAGAUAUUGUAGGAUUUGAAAAUGAAUGAUCACAAAUCUUUCUACCUUUUGUCUGUUAAAAUCAUGUCAUUUUUUCUUACUAUAAGUUGAAGAAAAAGAGAAAUUGGUCUCUUUUUUUGUUUACAUGAUAAUAUUAGUGCACCAAGUUGGAAAUGUGAGACAAAAUUAUAUGAGUUUGAAGUUGAAGUUUGAUUUCGACAUGUCAUUUAAAUUUUUAAAUUGUAUUUUUAAUAAUAAAUUUAUAAAUUAUGAUAAUUAUUGAAAUUGUCUUAAUUUUUUUAUACAAUUUUAUAAAAUAAGCAAAAAAAUUCAUAACAAAAAUAUAAAUAAUAUCAUAAAAUUAUUUUUAAAAUCUACAUUUUUUAUUGAUCGAACUUUAGUUUAAUAAAAAAAUAUAAUUAAAUAUUGCUCUCUCCGUCCUAUUUUAUGCGGUACUUUUUGAAUUUCGAGAUUCAAACAAGUCUAUCUUUGACGGUAAGUUUUUCAUAAAUCUUUUAAACAUUUUGAAUUAUUAAUUAUUGUGACUUCUAGUUUUUUUUUACAUAGUUAACAAAUAUUUAAAUUUUAUUUCAAAAAAAUUGAAGAUUUUGUAUGCAAUUUUCCGAUCACACUUAAACUGUUUGACUCUAAAAAAAUGAAAAAUAUCGCAUAAAUUGAGACAAAUGGAGUAGUAAAAUUAAUACCUAGCAAUAUUUUUAAAUUAUUAAUUAUUCUAAUAUAUCAUUUUUUUACAUAAUUUUUUUAUCUCAAUAUAUGUGGUACUGCUAAAUUUUUGAGAGUACUCACACCUACUGAAUUUCCACAUGCAGUUUGUGUUAUUUGUGUGUGGAAAGCUCUAUAAGUCCCAUCUUUUUUAUUUCUUUUUCCUUACACUUAAAAAGAUCGUUUGUUAGGUGGGAUAAGACGUGAUAUUUUUGAGUUACUUUUGAGAUAAAAUUUAUUUCAUAAAUUGAGAUAUUUAAUGAGAUAAUUAGUUAUCUCACUAAUACAUAUAAAAUAAGUAAAUUUAUCUCAAAACUGACUUAUGCUUCCAAUUAAAUGAAAAAUAAAAUUAUUUAUAUUUUAUUUUGAAAUUAUUAUCUUGUUUUCUUUGGUACCAAAUAAAUAUGAAUCCUUAAGCUUUUCCUCUUCAAUUAUUAGGGACCACGCUUAAGGCUUGUACAACAUUGCUAAAAGCUACUCACGUUUAAACCCUUGUUCUUAUUUUUGUAUUAUAUAGUUUUAAUAAAUAGUGAUUUUAGUGAUAAUUUCAAUUUUAUUCUAUUUGUUAUUUGACUAUGCACAUUUAAUUUUUAAUUAUUUAAAGUGUAAAAGUUUUGGUGCUUGAAGUUAACAAAAGUUAACUACUCUUAUUUAAUAAAAUGAUUAUUUGAAAAUAUAAAAAAUAAAAUAAAUGAUUGGUGAUUCUAAAUACUUGAGUGAAUAGAUUUACUCCAGUCCCUUAAGAAAAUUCAAAAGUAAGUCGUAUCAUCUUGCAUUCCAAGUAUUCGAUUAAUUAAUUCCUAGUUAAAACGAUAGUCUAGUUUUAGAAUUUAAUUACUCAAUCACUUUUUUGUUUGAAGACAAGGUUAGAAAAUUCGCAAAAUCACACUCUUUAACAUCUUGACACAAGUCUACUCUUUGUGGGAUCAACCCAAAUUUUUGUUGAGUUUAUUAUGGCUACGAGGCCGGAGGCGAACCCAUGUAUAUAUUUGAGGGUGCACAUGCACCUGUUAAUUUCGAAAAUUAUCAUAUAUAUAUAUAUAUAUAUAGAAACUUGUAGAAAUUAAAUAUAAUUAAUAGUAGCCCAAUGCAUAAUAAUGUGCUUUAUACCGCUAGUACAUGUUAAGACAUUCGCCCACGUGACUAGGGUUCUAUCCUAACUAGAACCUUUUUUCUUUUUAGCUUAAUAUUAAUGUACUCCUACACUUGAAUCUGAAGUGUAAGAUUGGACGUUACAAAAUACAGCUUGAACUCAUUUAUUUUGACUAUUUUUUAAUAUUAUUUUUCUAGAGAUAUUGUAGGAUUUGAAAAUAUAAUUAAAUUUUAUUCCCUCCGACCUAUUUUAUGCGGCAUUUUUUGGAUUUCGAUAUUCUAACAAGUUUAUCUUUGACAGUAAAUUUUUCAUAGAUCUUUUAAAUAUUUUGAAUUAUCAAUUAUUGUGACUUAUAGUACUUUCUACAUAGUUUACAAAUAUAUAAAUUAAAUUUAAAAAAAUUGCAGAUUUCGUACGUAAAUUUUCGAUCACACUUAAACCGUUUGACUCUCAAAAAAUGAAAAUUGUCAAAUAAAUUGGGACAUGGAAAUAAUAAUAUUAAUAUCUAGCAAUAUUUAAUAAUUUACCGGUUGGUACACCUAAUAACCGCCUACAUGAAUAGCAACAAUAUUUUAAUAAAAGAUCCGUACACAUUUAUGUAAUCUGACUGAUUUGAAUUAUUCGAAAUAAAAUUUAUCUUAUAAAUUGAGAUGUUUGAUUAGAUAAUUAAUUAUUUUACUACAUAUAAAAAAAUAAUUUAUCUCACCAUUAUAAAUUAUAUAAUUUAAUAACUAACUAAUACUCCUUAUUAUAUAAAAUUUUAAAAAAAACAAUUUUAAAGUUUAGAUCAAAAUAAUUAUCUCUUUUUCCUCUUCAAUUAUUAGGGUCACGUUUAAACGACUGGCACAACAUUUCUAGCUGUAAUUGGUAGGUAAAGUCCUUGAGUGAAUGGCUAAGAAAAAAGAAUAAAGUAUUGAACAUGUGGAAAAAAAGAUAUUACUCCCUCCAUAUUAUUGUAGGUGACAUCUUUUCACUUGACACGAUAUUUAAAAAAAAAAAAUGAUUUUUGAAAUUUAUAAUUUAAAAUAAUUUAUAGUUAUCUAAAUAUCUAUGACUCGAUUAUUUUAUUUCAUAAGUUUUAAAAAAAUUCUUUCUUACUUUCUUAAAUUUAAUGUUGAUUUAAACUAACCUGGUCAAUUUAUGUAGCACUUUUUAUUUUUCAAUAGUCAAAUGGUCUAAUCGAAAAUUUGCGCAUGUGAUCUUCAAAUUUUUAAGUCAAUUUUUUUACUUUUGAAAGUGUUUUGACAAAUACACAAGCUUAUCAAAAUACAAAGCUAAUAACACAGAUGAAAAGACAAUAAAAUUUCUUUUUAAAAAAUAUUUUAAGUUAUUAAUUAUUCUGAUAUAUAAUUUUUUAUGUGAUACUAAUAAAUUUUCGAGAGUACUCAUAACUAGUGAAUUUCCACAUGCAGUUUGUGUGGCGGUGUGCGGAAAGCUAUAAUUUAAGUUAGGGAUAUUUUCUUCUUUAUCAACUUCUCACUUAUAUAUACAUUACUUGUUCAUUUCAUCUUCUUAGGACAAGUUAAGUUUGAGUACAUUUAACUAUGAACUAUUCAAUGCAAGUUAAGAUUUUGUCCAAAAACCUCAUUAAACCAUCAUUACCAACGCCACAACACCUUAAAAAUUACAAGUUAUCUUUCUUUGAUCAAGUUCAAGGUGUAACUUAUAUAAAAGCAACGGUCAAUUGUAAGCUUGAUGAUUUCCUUCAACAAGCAAACAAAGACGUUGAUCUAGCAUUGCCAUUUUGGCCUCAAGGAAUUAUGGAUGUGGACGAGACGAAUUUAUUCGUCACGCCAGUUAUGGUUGUGCAAGUCACAACAUUUGAAUGUGGUGGUCUAGCCCUAGCUAUUAGCCAUGCACACCCUGCUAUGGACGGAUGCACCACAUUCAAAUUCAUUUAUGAAUGGGCUAAAGUGUGCAAAUUUGGUACUCCUUCUAAGGAUAUCAACUUGAACCUCAAUUUAGGCACUCUUUUCCCUUACAAAGAUUUAACAACUAUUCUUGAGCCUCCGGUUGACGAAGGCAAACGUAAAAACUCUAAGUUAGUUGCCAGAAAGUUUGUUUUUGAGGAAGAUGCAAUAUUGAGGCUCAGAGAGAAAUUUGACUCAACAACUGGCGAAGGUUUGAGUUUCAAACCUUCGCGAGUUGAGAUGAUUACAACACUUUUAUGGAGGUCACUUAUCCGUUCCACAGGAAGUACUUCACAUUUGAAACGGUCUAUAAUGGCAUUUCCAAUUAAUUUACGUGGUAAGGUAGCAGCUUUUCCUGAAAUUGCCAACUCUUUUGGGAAUCUUAUUAUCGAAAUUCCAAUAAAAUUUGAACACGACGAUGAAACAAAAAUGGAGUCGUUGCAUCACAUUGUAAAACUAAUAAGAGAGUCAGUUCAAGUGAUUAUCAGUAAAUGUGUCAAAGCUACUCCGGAUGAAAUAGUUUCUUUGGUUAUCGACUUAUACAAGGAUAGUUACGCCGGAUUAGAAUGGGGAGGAGACAAUGAAGUUAUGAAUUUUACAUGCUCAAGUUUAUGUAGGUUCCCCGUACAAAAAACUGAUUUUGGAUGGGGAAAACCAAGUUUAAUGCACUUUGGGUCAAGGCAUAGCCAAGUUUUUUGGUUGUAUGAUACUGAAUGUGAGACUGGAAUUGUUGUGCAAAUGGAUUUUGGAGGAAAAGUACAUGGAUAAACUUGCAUGUGACCAAGAUAUCAUGGAUUUUGUUAAAUUUUUAGGGUUUAAUUUUCAUGUUCUUUCUUCAUUUAAUUUGUACUCCCUUUGUUUUAAUUUAAGUACGUGUGUUGCUAUUGUUUUUCUUUGGUUUAAUUUGUUUUGAAUAUUAAUGUCAUUUUCUAUGAACUCGCUUUGACUAUAAUUAAGUAGCAUUUUAAGUUGUAGCAAAGAUUAUACUAAAAUAAAUGGGAGAAGGCACAAAUACCCCCUAGAUUAUGAUCGAAAUUCCAGAGACACACCUUAACUAAACUAAGGUCCUAUUACCCCUGAACUCAUUUUAUAUGUAAUGUUGUACACCUUUUGGCUUAUGUAGACACGUAAGUUUUGACCGAGCAUAAGACUUUACACUUGUUUUUAUUCCUUAAAUAUUUAUUUUAGGUUAAGUUAGAUAUUUUGAUUUUUGUCUUAUUUUAGUAAGUUUAUUUUAAAAGAUUUGAAAAUAACAAAAAAGAAAAGAUAUUUUCAAUAUAUUAAACUUGUUGGACAUUUAAAAAAGAAACUCGUUGGACAUUUAAAAAAUAUUUUCUUUGAUUAUAAUCUUUUAAAAAUAUAUAUUUUACAUUAUUAAUAAUUCUUAUUAAAACAAAGUAGCGUGUGAUUUUGAUUUGCUUUAAUAUCAAGCAGGAAUGAGUCCAAGACAGGGGCGGAUGACAUGGCGAGGGUGGUCAGAUGAACAACCUUCAUCGGAAAUUUUUAUGGAUAUAUAUACUAAAUAUCGAUUUUUUUGGAUAUAUACUAACUGUUGAACAACCUUGACACAAUAAAGGUUGACAGCCCAGCGGUUAAGGUUGUGCAAAGUUGCCUUAGCGUUCCUGGUUCGAGCCCAAGUGUUGGCGUUUUCUUUAAAUUUUUCAUUAUUCCAUUUGUUCUCUUAGAAAAGGCAAAACUCAGCCUGGGUUCGAUCCCAGGCUUGAACAUUUCAUUUAUUUAAUAUUUGUUCCACUUUUCUCUUAAGAAAAAGUACAAAAGUUACCUUUUUUAAGUUAAGAAAAACAAAAGGAAACAAAAGGUCUAUUUAAAUGGUUGCAUAGUGCCUUAUGUAGUAAUCAUUGUAUAUUUCUUCCUCAACCGCCAUUGAAGUGUGAAAAGGUAUUUCUUAAUUCUUUUUUUCCUUUAGUUCAGUUUUUUCUAAUCAAGUGUUGAAAGACUUGAAUAUCUUAAUUUUUAUGUUAAAAGCUACUUUAUUUAUUUGAGUAUCGAUUAACUAUUUGGUGUAUUGUGGAUGAUUUUUAAUAAGUUUGGUAUACUUGAACUUGACUACUAUUUCAGUUUGGUGUUCAAUGAGUUUGGAGAAAUAUUUUUUAGAGUACCCAAAACAAGUUUGGCGCCUCAAAAUCAAAAUCAACUACGCUGAGAUGAAAAUGUCAACCAAAUAGAAAUAUCAUCUCACUCUUCCCAAAGACAAGAAUUUGAUGUGAAUGAUUUAAAGGCUGAUCCGGCUGAAAGAACUCCAAUUUUUAAUUAUCAUCCAAACCUUUGUGAUGAGAUAAGGAGGGCAUAUAUCAUUAAAGGUCCUUGUCAACCUCAAAAUCAUCAUUUUCCUCAAACUUAAUUUUUUGGAACAUCACGUCGUUUUGUUUAUACGUGGUUUGAUGAAUCUUGUCAACCUCAAAAUCAUCAUUUUUCUCAAACUAAUUUUUUUGGAACACCACGUCGUUUUGUUUAUACGUGGUUUGAUGAAUCUCGUGAUUGGUUGGAAUACAGUAUUAGUGCGGAUGCUGCUUAUUGUUUACCUUGUUAUUUGUUUCAAGGAGAAAACAUUAAUCAAGGUGGUGGUAAUGUAUUUUCGACUAAGGGAUUUACAAAUUGACAUAGAAAGGAUAGCUUUGCUACACAUAUUGGUCUACCGAAUAGCGUUCAUAAUCAAUCCAAAAGAAAGUGUGAAGAUCUCAUGCGAGAACAACAAUCCAUUCAAGCCGCAUUUUACAAGUUGGAUGAUAAAAGUAAGCAUGAAUAUCGGAUUCGAUUAAACGCUUCAAUCGAUGUGGUAAGACUUCUCUUGGAUCAAGGUUUUGCAUUUCGUGGUCAUGACGAGAGUGAAUCGUCAUUGAACAAGGGUAAUUUUCUUGAAGUUCUUUCUUGGUUAGCUGCUAGAUGUGAUGCAAUUAAACCUUUUGUGUUAGAAAAAACUCCAAAAAAUAAUUAAAUGACUUCUCAUGACAUCCAAAAAGAUAUUGUGACUGCGUGUAAGAUUGAAACAGUUAAGGCAAUAAUAGAGGAUAUAAAUAGUGACUACUUUGCUUUAUUGGUUGAUGAAUCUAGAGAUGUGUCACGCAAAGGGCAAAUGGCUAUUUGUCUAAGAUAUGUUGACAAAAUGGGGUUUGUAAUGGAGGCAUUUAUUGGACUUGUUCACAUUAAAGAUACUAGUGCUUUAUCUCUAAAGAAAGCAAUUGUAGAUGUACUUGCUCACCAUUCUUUGACUUUAUCUAAUGUACGUGGGCAAUGUUACGAUGGGGCAAGUAAUAUGCAAGGUGAGCUAGGUGGUCUUAAAACAUUGAUUAGACAAGAAAGUAGAUCGGCUCAUUCUGUUCAUUGUUUUGCUUAUCAACUUUAAUUGACUCUUGUUGCGGUUUCUAAAAAGUGUGUUCAAGUAGGUGAACUUGUAUUAUUAAUUUCAAAUAUUUUGAAUGUGUUGGGAGCUUCUUUUAAACGUGUUGAUAAUUUUCGAGAAUCUCAAAAAAAGCAUCUUCAAAUGGCAUUGGAUAUGGGUGAACUAGAAAUGGGUAGAGGGUUGAAUCAAGAACUUGGUCUUGUUAAAGCCGGUGAUACUCGUUGGGGAUCUCACUACAAGUCAUUUGGAAACUUUAUUNNNNNNNNNNNNNNNNNNNNNNNNNNNNNNNNNNNNNNNNNNNNNNNNNNNNNNNNNNNNNNNNNNNNNNNNNNNNNNNNNNNNNNNNNNNNNNNNNNNNNNNNNNNNNNNNNNNNNNNNNNNNNNNNNNNNNNNNNNNNNNNNNNNNNNNNNNNNNNNNNNNNNNNNNNNNNNNNNNNNNNNNNNNNNNNNNNNNNNNNNNNNNNNNNNNNNNNNNNNNNNNNNNNNNNNNNNNNNNNNNNNNNNNNNNNNNNNNNNNNNNNNNNNNNNNNNNNNNNNNNNNNNNNNNNNNNNNNNNNNNNNNNNNNNNNNNNNNNNNNNNNNNNNNNNNNNNNNNNNNNNNNNNNNNNNNNNNNNNNNNNNNNNNNNNNNNNNNNNNNNNNNNNNNNNNNNNNNNNNNNNNNNNNNNNNNNNNNNNNNNNNNNNNNNNNNNNNNNNNNNNNNNNNNNNNNNNNNNNNNNNNNNNNNNNNNNNNNNNNNNNNNNNNNNNNNNNNNNNNNNNNNNNNNNNNNNNNNNNNNNNNNNNNNNNNNNNNNNNNNNNNNNNNNNNNNNNNNNNNNNNNNNNNNNNNNNNNNNNNNNNNNNNNNNNNNNNNNNNNNNNNNNNNNNNNNNNNNNNNNNNNNNNNNNNNNNNNNNNNNNNNNNNNNNNNNNNNNNNNNNNNNNNNNNNNNNNNNNNNNNNNNNNNNNNNNNNNNNNNNNNNNNNNNNNNNNNNNNNNNNNNNNNNNNNNNNNNNNNNNNNNNNNNNNNNNNNNNNNNNNNNNNNNNNNNNNNNNNNNNNNNNNNNNNNNNNNNNNNNNNNNNNNNNNNNNNNNNNNNNNNNNNNNNNNNNNNNNNNNNNNNNNNNNNNNNNNNNNNNNNNNNNNNNNNNNNNNNNNNNNNNNNNNNNNNNNNNNNNNNNNNNNNNNNNNNNNNNNNNNNNNNNNNNNNNNNNNNNNNNNNNNNNNNNNNNNNNNNNNNNNNNNNNNNNNNNNNNNNNNNNNNNNNNNNNNNNNNNNNNNNNNNNNNNNNNNNNNNNNNNNNNNNNNNNNNNNNNNNNNNNNNNNNNNNNNNNNNNNNNNNNUUGUCCUAAAGUAUGAACCCCCUUGGCGAAAAUUCUGGCUCCGCCACUGGUCCAAGAUUGUUAGAAUAAAUAAAUAUAUAUAUAUAUAAAUCAGUUUUUAUUUUGUACCUAAGAAUUAUAUGAAGGGAUAGAGUUUAGAGUUUUAAAUUUCAGUUAUGUGCUUUUGCGGUCUAUUUUUGCUGUUAGUUUUAUUAUUAUUUUGUACCAAUAAUAAAAUAUAAUUUUUAAUAUUGCUUUAAUUAGUUGAUAUUUUAUUAUAAUUUAUUAUUUAUAUGUAUAGUUAAUUAUUAUUUUUUUAAAAGUAAAAUAAAAAUAAGAAAAUAACUCACCCCACUUCCCAUACCCCACAAAUCCCAUAUACUCACCCCUAUGCUACCACAUCCCCACGAAACUAUCAACAACACAAACAGUCACCCCUAUACCCACACACGAACAAAAAAAAAAAAGGAUUGAGUUGUUGUUUUUGACGGCUUCAAGUUCACGGAUUCAAAAGUCUGCUAUAUUAAUAUUUUUGGAAAAUCAGUAGACUGUUAGGCGUUGUUUUUCGUGGUUUAAUCUUCAUAAGAGAUAACAUUUAUUUCUUCUUGGUAUAAUUUAAUGUCACGAUUGUUCAAGAUUUGAUUCCAAUGUUAUAAAGUUAUUCAAAUUUUAUGUGUGUUUAGCUUUGCCAAUAUACUAUUGAAAUACAUGAAAAUAUUUGUAUUGUUGUAUUUGGAUUAAAUAUGAUAUAACGUAUAUCGCUUCUUGCUCACUAAGGAAUCAAUAUUUUUCUUAAUUCGCUCUAUUCUAUCAAGCCGAAACGUGAUUCAUGGGUUGCUGAUAAUUAAUUUGAUCAAUUCACAUAGUUUUGAGUUAUUCGUUGAUAGUGCAAUUUAAAAAUUAUUUUUUUUAGUAAAAAAAAUGCAUUUUUAUACGAUUUAAUCGUUAUCAUCCGAAGUGUUUUAGAUUAUUGGUAUUUUAUAGGUCAUAGAUCUAAUGCCAGUUUCAAAUGUUGUGUGAAUAUAAAUGUUUGGUUUUUUUUUAUUAAAAAAAAGGCUCUUUUAUGAGUCUAUUAAUUCAGGAUACUAGCUUUUGGGGUGAUCACUUGCAAAUAAUCACGCCACUUCAUUUUUUAAGCGUAAAUAUUUGUUAAAUUAGAUAUAGCCACAUAUGUCAUUAAUUAUUAGUUAAAGUGUGCCUUUAGUGUAUUUGUUUAUUUAGUUAUGCUUUAUUGUAAAUAAUUAAUUAUAUUAAAAAAAUAUAGACUAAUAACAUUCUGUUUUGCUAGAAACUGUAAGUACUAUCAUGUUAAUAAGACAAUGUAAUUAAUUGAAUUUAAUAUUUCGUGGGCAGGUGAUAAGUUAAAUGUAGAAAAGUUUGGUCACUUUAACAUUUUACUAUUUAUUUUUAGAUUGCUUUAAUAUAAUCAUAGGUAUAUAUUAGGCUUUAUUAUACAUUAGAUGAGUAACAAUAAUAAUUAAAUUUCAUCUCAAUUAAGAAUGUGGUUCCAUAUGAGAUACUUAAGAAAUUCAAGGAUGCGGUUACGCACCUUUGCCAAAUUCAAGGAUGCGGUAACACACAUUGGCCAAAUUAUUUUAAUAAUUAAUUUUGUUAAUUCAAACCAAGAGGUGUAAAUUGGGAGUAUUAGGUGUGAUGAACUCGAGAGGGGAAGACAGUUAUGUCUCCAAAUGUCAAUAUCGGUAAUGCAGUUAUGCAUCCGGUUUAAGACUAAUAAAAAUUCAACAAUUAAAAAAUAAGCAAACCAUGACAUAUAGACACAAAUUAUCCAAAAACAUAUCAAGAUAAGUAUAAGUCAAUAAAAGCGACCGUGCUAGAACCACGGGACUCGAGAGAUGCCUAAUACCUUUCCCUCGGUCAACAUAAUUCCUUACCCAAAUUUUUGGUUCGCAGAUCAAACAAAGAGUCAUUUCCUUUUGAUUAGGCAUUAAACAAAAUGUGACUUGAAACACCAUAACUCAAUUUCAAGUAGCGACUCUGAAAAAAAUAAAAAAAUAAAAAAAAUAAUUCCUUAAUCAAUACGGUCACUUAAAUUGGAAAAACCCUUUUCGCCGUGCGAAAAAAGGGGUGUGACAUCUCUGGCGGCUCCGCUGGAGAUACUAACCAAAAUUUGAGGUUUUUUUUGUUGACUUUUAUUUUAUCUUAUUUUAUUUUUUUUGGAUAUAUUGUGUGUUAUUGCCUAGUAUGAUACUUGUUGCUCUUUUAUCGCUUUUUAUAUUGUUGAACUAUAAAUUGUCUUUCUUGGCGCAACCAUCUAAGUUGGCAGGGUUUAAUGACAUGUGUUGAAGUCGUAAUAUUUUCCAUUUUCGUUACUCAGGUAUGACAAAAUUCAUAAAGGUAGCACAAGUGAAGAUGAAACUGUAUCACCAUUAAGAAAUGGAAGAUCCAGACCAUGGUCCUUGAAGUUUUACAUAUGACAUUCUAACUACGUUGCGCUCUGAUGGCGUUUUGUAUUUGCAACGAAAGGAAGGGGACGAAAAAAUGCGUAGAUUUUCUAGCAAAUGAAGGUUAAGUCGUAUAUAUGAAGAAGAUUUGUUAAUCAAGGAAGAUGAGGAUGUUGAGUUUUUUCAUCUAGUAAACUUUAAGACAUGUUGCUUAUAGAAGGGAAAUUUAUUACUCUCUAUGUGCUAAAAAAAUAAUGAUAUAUAUUUUUAUACUUAGUAGAAAUUUAACUUUAAAACUUCUCAUUUUACCCCUAAAGUUAGUUCGAGAUUUCCAAAUUUCGAGUUCGAUAGUUAAAAAUAGAUUCAAUUCAGUAAUACCGUACUGAAGUUGUAGGAUUUGAAAAUGAAUGAUCACAAAUCUUUCUACUUUUUGUUUGUUAAAAUAAUGUCCUUUUCUGACUAAGUUAAAGAUAAAGAGAAAUUGGUCUCUUCUUUUGUUUAGAUGAUAAUGUUAGUGGACCUAGCUUGAAAUGUGAGACAAAAUUAUAUGAAUUGAAGUUUGAUUUCGAUAUGUAAUCUGACUGAUUUGAUGUUAUUUUUAUUCUUUAUUUGAUUUCAAGUAUGCAUAAAAAACAAAUGUAACGUAUAUUUACAUCCACACAAAUAUCUACACAUAUUUUUAGUUUAAGAUUACAAAAUUUUAAAGGUCGCUAUACUUUCAUAAAUUAAUAUCCCAUGAAACUAAGAUACACAAACUAAAACUAGCGGAGUAACUUAGUACUAAUUCGAUUUGCUUCAUACAUUGUUUUAGUACUAGACAUAUAAGCUAGUGCUAACACAGACUCAAUAACAUAGAUAGAAUUUGGAAAGACAAAUGAUUAUUAACAUGAUUAUUAUUAAUUUACGAGACUUUUACGAUGAUUUUUUUCUAUUCUAAUUUAUGUAAUACAAAUUAAUUUUCGUGUGUAUUAGCCCAAGAAUCUGGCGCCUCAGAGCACCAAAAAACAUUUUCUGAAAUUUUUUUAUGAGGACCUCUGUAAUGAGUUGGGAACCACCACUUAUACUCACACUAUUUCUUAACGCUUAUUUCCGCAUUUACUGACCCUUUUUUAGGAAUUACGUAAUUUUUUUCAAUUUUUGGGUGUAUUAGCCUAUGGAUCUGGCACAUUGGAGCACCCAAAUUUUUUUCUGAAAAAAACUUUAUGAGGAAUUUUGUAAUGAGUUGGAGAUCACCAUGUAUACUCACACCAUUUUUAACGACUAUUUCUGCAUUUAUAGAUUCUUUUUUAGAAAUUACGCAAAUUUCUCGAUUGUUCGUGUAUAUUAGCCCAUGAAUCUCGCGACUCGGAGCACCCAAAAUUGUUUUCUGAAAAAAUUCUAUGAGAACCUCUGUAGUGAGUAAGGGAACCACCACAUAUACUCACACCAUUUUUAAUGAUAUUUUCGCAUUUACAAGCCCUUUUUUAUGAAUUAUGCAAAUUCCUUGAUUUUUCGUGUGUAUUAGCCUUUGAAUCUGGCGCCUCAGAGCACCCGAAAAAAAAUUCUAAAAAAACUUUAUGAGGACUUCCAAAAUGAGUUAGGGAACCAGCAUGUAUACUCAUACCAUUUUUUAACGCCUAUUUUUGCACUUACCGACCCUUUUUUUUUUUAUAGGAAUUAUGCAAAUUAUUCGAUUUUUCAUGUGUAUUAACCCAUGAAUAUAUUGGUGAUAUGGCUUUCGGACGAAAUUUUUGCAAAACUCUUUAUGGAACCCUUCAAAGGGAGUUGGGGGAGCAGUACGUACAAUCUUACCAUUUUUAGAGUGAUUUAUGGCCAUUAAGGAGUCAAUUUUUAUUAGUUAGGCGAUUUUCUCAAUUUUUCAUGUGUGUUAGCCGAUUAAUAUUUUGGUGAUAUGACAUAUAGAUGAAUAUAUUACGAAACCUUUAUGGAAUUCUCUGUAGGGAGUUGGGGAAGCAUUACGUACAGUCUCACCAUUUUUAGAGUGAACUUUGGGCAUUUAGAGGCCAAUUUAUAGUAAUUAUGUGAUUUUCUCUAUUUUCUGUGUGUGUUAUCCCAUGAAUAAUUUGGUGAUAUGAUUCCGAACGAAUUUUUUUCGAACCUUUAUGGUACCCUCCGCAGGGAGUUGGUGGGGCAGUACGUACAGUCUCACCAUUUUAGAGUGAUAUGGCGGAGAAAUAACUCCUAAUAACCCAAAAUAUAUCUGAAAAAUGCCGAGGAGACGUAUUGCUUUCCCAACUUCCUACAGAGAGUUACGUAAUAAAUUUGCACAAAAAUCGACCAUCAAUCACAGCACCAAAAUAUUCAUGGGCUAACUGUGCCAACACAAACCCAAUAGCAUAGAUGGAAUUUGGAAUGAUAAUUAUGUGCCAACACAAACACCCAUUUUUACCACAACUUUUCAUUCACAUUAAAGCUAGAAAUGGCAGAAGAAAUGAUGAACAACAAACAGAUCAUUCUAAAACAUUAUGUGGAAGGUUAUCCUAAGGAAUCUGAUAUGGAAUUUAAGAAUAACAACAUUAAAUUGAAUGUUCAAGAAGGUUCUAAUGUUGUUGUUUUGAAGAAUCUUUACUUGUUUUGUGACCCUUACAUGCGAACCGUAUGAGCAAACUUGAGGGUAGCUAUAUUCAAUCUUUCACUCCUGGUUAUGUAAGUAUUUCAACAAUUUACUACCACACAUAUGAUUAUUUAGUUGAUAUAUAUUAUACGUUCAAAUUUCGAGGGUCAAAAAAUAUAUUUAAUGUAUGUUUAUAAGUAGGUGUUUGAAUUAACUUAUUUUAAACAGUUUUUGGCUUUUAAUCUUCUUUUUAAUUUUUUUGAAGGUGUUCGAUAAGGCUGAAAAAAAAAUACAAAAGUAAGUUAAAAGUUAAAAGUCUGAGUAUUCUCAACUCAUGAUCUCUUUUAAGUUUUUGCUUAUAAGUUACUUAAAACAAAGUCAAUCUAAACAACCCUUGAUCGUGAAUCUGGGAAGGGUGGUGAGUAUUAGCUUAAUUUCUAUAGUAGAAAGAUUAUUUUCAAAAGACUUUCAAAAUCAAGUUUAAAUUUUGAGAGUUGAACUUGUUAAUUUUGAUCUGGAUUUGGAUAUAAAAUCUUUAAAUAGUGUAGACCUUGAUUGUUUCAAUUUAACAUUAUUGGUGUGUUCAGUAUAUAUACUUUUCAAGAAAAUAUAUAAGUGAUUUUCUUACUUAUUUUUUUGUCCGUAGCCUAUUACAGGAUACGGAGUGUCUAAAGUUUUGAAAUCUGGUGAUUCAAAUUUUCAAGAAGGUGACUUAGUUUGGGGAAUGACUGGAUGGGAGGAAUAUAGUAUUGUAACAACUACUCAAAGUAUGUUUAAAAUUGAUCAUGACAAGGAUGUGCCUCUUUCCUAUUAUACAGGAAUCCUUGGUGAGUGUUUUCGACUGGGUUAAAGUAUUACAUAAUUAGUUGGGGUCUCUACUUAUAUGGAUUUGAAAAAAUUAAUUUUCGGGGUUGAGUUAGACCAAGCGUCAUAACUUUACAUGAUAUAUAUCUAUAUAUGAACCCUAUUUGGGAUCUUGGUCCACACUCUCCAGUUGGGCUUGGACUUGAAGGGAGUGCUAGAGUCCCACAAUGGUACUACAACAAAAACAGCUUUUAGCGGCAAUAAAUAGACACAUUAAUAAAGAGUGCUAAAGUCUUUCCCGGCAUUAGUUAAAUGUCAUUAGAUUAAAUGUCACUAAAGGCUUUAGGGGGAUAUACAAAGAGUGCUAAUUGCCGCUAAAAAUACAUAUUUAGUGGCAAUUGAGCUAUUACCGUUAAUUAAUUGCCACUAAAGAUCGUUUUUGAUGUAGUAUGGUUGGUUGGGGAAUAGAUUGAUAAUCGGCUUAUAUGGACUCGGACAAUAAUCUUCUGCUCUUGCAGGGAUGCCUGGGGUGACAGCUUAUGCUGGUUUUUAUGAGGUUUGCUCCCCUAAGAAGGGAGAAACUGUGUUGUUGUUGGUAGUGCUGGAAAUAAUUAAACAAAAGGUAAGUACUUAAACAUUUCAUUCCUUGAAUUUUAUUAGAGGCUUAUAAGUUAUCUUACUUAUCUUAAUCAUUGUUAAAUAAUCUAGCUAUCUCAUCUAUUCAUUAUUAUUAUUAAAGGUUGAUAUGUUGAAGACCAAGUUUGGUUUUUGAUGAAGCUUUUAACUAUAAAGAGGAGCAGAAUUUAGAUGCAGCUUUGAAGAGGUAAGUAAUCUUAUAAAUUCCCACAAGAAAACACUAACUAAUAUGAAAAAAAAAUAGUUUCCAGGGUGAAGGUGUUGGGGACUUUUUUUUUUUGCUUCUUUUAUUUUAAGCCAUCAUUUUAACGGUGUGGGGGGUUAGGCUUGACCCCUACUAUGUCUACAACAUCCAAAAAGUUACAAAAGCAGAGGGGACAUGGACCUAACCUCUGAUAGAGAACAACGAGGAUAAACUAAACAAUCUACGGUAAGACUAAGAUGACAUAGACUUUCAUACUAUAAGCAAAAUACAUUGGUUCAACUAACAAAAAAAAUUACAUUUGUUGUAUCUUCUCCUUAUGCUAAAGUUGCCACUUAUCUAGUAGAAAUAGUCCCUUCACCUCAGAAGAAUUGUGUGUGGUGGAUUGAACAUUAAGGGCAUAUAUGAAAAGAUAGCUAAUAUAACGCUAAAGGUAUAUAUGAACUGAUUGUAUAACGGAAAGCAAUACUAGACCUUUAAUUUUCGAUAAUAUAGGAGUAAAUAUGACUUUUUUUCGUAUUGGUUUAUUCUAUUAGGUACUUCCCUGAUGGAAUUGAUAUAUACUUUGAGAAUGUUGGAGGUAAAAUGCUUGAUGCAGUUCUUGUGAAUAUGAAACUUCAUGGUCGUAUUGCUGUGUGUGGAAUGAUUUCACAAUACAACCUUGACAAGACUGAAGGAGUGCACAACUUGUUUUGCCUCAUCGCGAAACGAAUCCGUAUGGAAGGAUUUUUUGUUUUUGAUUACUAUCAUCUUUAUCAUAAAUAUCUUGAAAUGAUCAUUCCACAAAUAAAGUCUGGUAACAUUGUGUAUGUGGAAGACAUAGCUGAAGGUUUUGAAAGUGCUCCUAGUGCUCUAGUUGGUCUCUUCUCUGGUCUCAAUGUUGGAAAGCAAGUUGUGAUGAUUUCAUGUGAAUGAAUGGAUUUGGAUCUUUUCCAUUUUCUCUCAAGUUUUUACUUGAAAGGAAAGAUAUUGUGUCAUGGUUAAAUACUUAAAUACGCAAACAUUUCUCAUGUAUUUACUAAUUCUCUGUAUGGUUUGAAAUAUUUAGUCAUUAAUUGAUAAUUUCAUACUAGAUUUCAAGUCAGUUGUACCUAAGUACAUGUAUUUUUGCUACUAGAUACAUUCUGAAAUGCAGAUACAUAGGAAGAGAGGGAGUGAGAGAGGAGAAGGAGAGAUGAGAGAGGCGAGAGGCAAGCAAAAGAGUUAGUGUAUCCCAGAUAUAUGCAAAUUACACUAGAUAAUCUGAGAUAUCAUAUACAAUUCAUAAACAUUCUGAAAUACAGAUACAUAAGGAGAGAGGCGAGCGAGAGAGGGAGAGAGGCGAGCAAUAUAAGAGAUAUGAGUGAGAGAUUCAGUGUUUCCAGAUACAUAUAAAUUAUGCUUGAAUACAGUAUAUCAGAAAUAAAUUGGACCUAAUUUUAAUUAAUAUAUCCAAGAUACAUAUAUUUGGAUGUGUCGCAUACAUGCGUUUGGGAACUGACACAAAUAAUACUUUCAAAGAGGCACAUAAUUAGACUCUAAACUAAAGAAAUUCUUAUUAUUUGCCCUUGAACUUAUUUAGGCAAAUAAAAGGUCGGAAGAGAUUUAAGAUUGCGAGAUUAAUAAUAAUUUAUAAAAUUAAAUAUAUAAUAUAGUAUUAAUUAUCUAAAUCAUAAAAAAGAUUUAUUUUGAUUAACUAAAUCUUAGUCAUUAAAUUUUACUUAUAUCAAUUUAGGGGGGGGAAAUGAAGAGGAGUCGGAUCCAGAUAUAUUCUUCAACAACUCUUGAUUUACAAAGUGAGAAAUGGCAGAGGAAGUGAUGAACAACAAACAGAUCAUUCUAAAACAUUAUGUGGAAGGUUACCCUAAGGAAUCUGAUAUGGAAUUUAAGAAUAAUAACAUUAAAUUGAAUGUUCAAGAAGGUACUAAUGUUGUUGUUUUGAAGAAUCUUUACUUGUCUUGUGACCCUUACAUGCGUUCACGCAUGAGCAAACUUGAGGGUUGCUAUGUUCAAUCCUUCACUCCUGGCUCAGUAAGUCGUUCACUUAUUUUAUUGAGUCGCCCUUAUAAAUAACGAUGUUGGAUUUAUCGAUGUAAAUUUUAUGUUUCCUUCGCCAUGUUAUGAUUGUGGAUUAUUUUUCCUUAAUUAACAUACAAGCAUUUCUAGUUAUUGUUGAAACAAUUUACAAGUGAGUUUAAAUUUCCCAUGCAAUUGUGUAGACCUUGGAUGUUUUUUAUUUAACAUUAUAUAGGGGUUUUGGUAAUGAUGAGUAUAUUUUUUUAGAAAAUGAAUGAGUUUCAUAUAUAUUUUCUUAUAUUUAAUAUGCGCAAGUAAAAAAUAUUUGUGUAUAAUCUAGAUAAAUACUAUGUCAAGUAGGCGUGUGCAGGGGCGGAGCCACGUAGGCUCCAGGGUGUCCAAUUGGACACCCUUCGUACGAAAAAUUAUACUACAUAUACAUGUAAAUUUUUGACUUUAUAUUGGUAUAUAUAGAAUUUGGACCCCCUGAAAUAACAAAGUGAUGCGCAGUGGAGUUGGCAAUAGCCUGUGCAAUCCUACUCUUUGUCUUGGUUCGAAUCCCCGCAGGGAUUUUUUCUUUUUCUGUAAUUAUUUUUACUUCUUAAAUUCAAUCAAGUAAAUAAACAUGCGUAAUUUAAACAUAAAAGUUCAGUAGCUUGGUGGUUAAUAGUAUCAUGAAGGUCUCCAAGACCCAAGUUCGAAUCCCUCCUCUACUAACUAUUUUUUUUCAAUUAAAAUUGAAUCAUUUCCCUAAAUUUUAGUACCUUUUCCUUGUAGAAUAAGAUUUCCUUAAAUUUAAUACUUUUUCUUGUGGAUUUUUUUCAAUUAAAAUUGAAUUAUUUACUUAAAUUUUAAUACAUUUUCCUUGUAGAAUAAGAUUUCCUUAAAUUUAAUACUUUUUCUUGUGGAUUUUUUUCAAUUAAAAUUGAAUUAUUUCCUUAAAUUUUAAUACAUUUUCCUUAUGGAAUAAGAUUUCCUUAAAUUUUAAUACUUUUCCCUUAUGGAAUAAGGUUUUCUUUCUCUAUAAAUAGGAGACUCAUUUACCCAAAUAUCACAAUAUUAUUAAGAAUAGAAUCUCAAUAAUUCUCUCUUUGUUUUUUCUUCUCGUUCUCUUAUUUUAUAACAAAAACAAAAAACUUAAUAUUUUAGUUUCAAGUUUCAAUAGACAUGAAGAAUUAUUAUAAUAGAGUACCAAAAAAAAGUUCGAUAUGGAAUUUAAGAAUAACAACAUUAAAUUGAAACAAUUUACAAGUGAGUUUAAAUUUACCAUGUAAUUGUGUAGACCUUGGAUGUUUUCUAUUUUAACAUUAUAUAUCUAGGGGGUGUUUGGUAAUGAUGAGUAUAUUUUCUUAGAAAAUGAAUGAGUUUCAUAUAUAUUUUCUUAUAUUUAAUACGCGUAAGUAAAAAAUAUUUGUGUAUAAUCUAGAAUACUAUGUCAGGUAGGCGUGUGGGAUAUAUACUGUUUCCCGAUGGGGAUGAGAGUGUAGAUAAAGUGUGUUAGAGAAUGGGGAGGACACAACUGAAGUGGAAUUUCAUUUGUGAAACUUAUUUUCCUACUUCCAGGCAGGGGCGGAGCCAACCUUCUGUUAGGGGUUCAUCUGAACCCCCUUUGACAAAAACAUUACUAUUUAUACAUGAUUAAAAUUAUUUUUUAUGUAUAUAUAAUAGAUGUCGAACCCCCUUCAGUUAGUUCGUGUGUUUAUUUCUUCAGCUAUUGAACCCCCUUAUUAAAAAUCCUAGGUCCGCCACUGCUUCCGGGAUAACUUUUACUAUACGAACAUGAAAAAAUUAUUGGCCAUACGAGUUUGAUAUAGCCCAUUUGAUACCUUCGUAUCCGAGUUCUCAAAAUCUCACUUCAAAGGUGUUGAGUUGGAAUCCCAUUCUAACUAACGAUUCUUGUGGUUCCAGAGGAUCCAACUACAGGAGAACCCAGGAACUCGAAGGGCUCCCCCCCCCCCCCACCUGUUCCGCCCAACUCUUUGGUCUUAAGAACGCUGGCUUAUUGAACAGGGUUCUAUGGUCGGUCCGUGACCCCCGGAUGCCAAAGUCAUCCUUGGGUGAUCUCUUAGUUCCUACGGGGUGGAGAUGCUGGGGUUGGUCCAAGGAUUUUCCUUCCUUUUCUUUUGCCGCAUUUCUCUCAAAGGGUUGAAGGGAGAUAGUGCAUCAAGUUGUUUGCAAGGGCCAACUUGAUCCUAUUCCCCAGGGAUCUCCGAUUAGGGAACCCUGGGAGAGAAAAAUGUUUCCACUGCGCACCCUAUUUCAUUUUUCAUUUCUUGUUCAAGAACUCUUAGAUGUUAGAAACAUUGAGGUUAAGUGAACUUCAUUCUCCCAACUGAAUGUUUAUUCCUUAUGUAUAUAUGAUAUGAAUGGAUUAACAAUUUGUCCUAUGAUAAUGUUUCUCAUAAGUACUUUUCUUUUCUGUUAUAUUAUAGCCUAUCACAGGAUGUGGAGUGGCUAAAGUUUUGAAGUCUGGUGAUUCAAAUUUUCAAGAAGGGGUAGUGGUGAUUUUGGUGGUGGAGAAGAUAGGUAUGUUCCAUUUGAGGUGGAGAAUGGUUCAUCGAGUCAUCGAGGAUCUAUCAAUGAUGAUAUUGAAUGUGGUGAUAGUGAUGAUGAUGAUGAUGAUGAUAAUCGCUCAGCUUUCUAGGAUUACCAUGACUCACCACAGCUAGUUUCAAAGAAUGGUGUUGGACAAUUUGCAAAGAUGUUAGGUUGUUGUGUUGUUGGUAGUGCUGGAAAUAAACAAAAGGUAAGUACUUAAGCAUUUCAUUCUUGAAUUUUAUUAGUGGCUUAUAAGUUAUCUUACUUAUCUUAAUUAAUCAUUGUUAAAUAAUCUAGCUAUCUCAUUUAUUCAUUAUUAAUUAAAGGUUGAUAUGUUGAAGACCAAGUUUGGUUUUGAUGAAGCUUUUAACUAUAAAGAGGAACAUGAUUUAGAUGCAACUUUGAAGAGGUAUGUAAUCUUAUAAAUUCCCACAAGAAAACACUAACUAAAAUGGAAAAAAAAUAGUUUCCAGGGUGAAGGUGGUUGGGGACUUUUUAAUUUUUUUUUUUUAACCCAUCACCUUAACGGUGUGUGUGUGUGUGGGGGGGGGGGGCUUGACCCCUACCAUGUCUAUAACAUCCAAAAAGUUACAAAAGCAGAGGGAGACAUGGACCUAACCUCUUGAUAGUGAACAACGAGGAUAACCUAAGAUGACAUAGACUUUCAUACUAUAAGCAAAAUACGUUGGUUCAACUAACAAAAAAAAUUACAUUUGUUGUAUCUUCUCCUUAUUCUAAAGUUUCCACUUAUCAAGUAGAAAUAGUCCCUUUCACCUUAGAAUUAGAAUUGUGUGUGGUGGAUUGACAUUUCAUUUUGGUUAAAAUGAAUGGGAUUAAUGAUAAAUGAAGAUUUGAACCACUUCUGUAACAUUAAGGGCAUAUAUGAAAAGAUAGCUAAUAUAACGCUAAAGGUAUAUAUGAACUUAUUGUAUAACGGAAAAGCAAUACUAGACCUUUAAUUUUCGAUAAUAUAGGGGUAAAUAUGACCUUUUUUCGUAUUGGUUUAUUCUAUUAGGUACUUCCCUGAUGGAAUUGACAUAUACUUUGAGAAUGUUGGAGGUAAAAUGCUUGAUGCAGUUCUUGUGAAUAUGAAACUUCAUGGUCGUAUUGCUGUGUGUGGAAUGAUUUCACAAUACAACCUUGACAAGACUGAAGGAGUGCACAACUUGUUUUGCCUCAUCGCGAAACGAAUCCGUAUGGAAGGAUUUCUUGUUUUUGAUUACUAUCAUCUUUAUCCUAAGUAUUUGGAAAUGAUCAUUCCACAAAUAAAGGCUGGUAAUAUUGUGUAUGUGGAAGACAUAGCUGAAGGUUUUGAAAAUGCUCCUAGUGCUCUAGUUGGUCUCUUCUCUGGUCUCAAUGUUGGAAAGCAAGUUGUGAUGAUUUCAUGUGAAUGAAUGGAUUUGGAUCCUUUCCAUUUUCUCUCAAGUUUUUACUUGAAAGGAAAGCUAUUGUGUCAUGGUUUAAAUACUUAAAUACACAAACAUUUCUAUCAUGUAUUUACUAAUUCUCUGUAUGGUUUGAAAUAAUAAGUCAUUAAUUGAUAGUUUCAUACUAGAUUUCAAGUCAGAUAUACCAAGGUACAUGUAUUUUUGCUACUAGAUACAUUCUGAAAUGCAGAUACAUAGGAAGAGAGCGAGUGAGAGAGGAGAAGGAGAGAUGAGAGAGGCGAGAGGCAAGCGAAAGAGUUAGUGUAUCCCAGAUAUAUGCAAAUUACACUAGAUACAUGUAUCUGAGACUAGAUACAUGUAUUUGAGAUAUCAUAUACAAUUCAUAAACAUUCUGAAACAAAGAUACAUAAGGAGAGAGGUGAGCGAGAGAGGCGAGCAAGAUAAGAGAUAUGAGUGAGAGAGUCAGUGUUUCCAGAUACAUAUGAAUUACCCUUGAAUACAGUAUAUCAGAAAUAAAUUGGACCUAAUUUUAAUUCAUAUAUCCAAGAUACAUAUAUUUGGAUGUGUCGCAUACAUGUGUUUGGGAACGGAAAUCUGACACAAACAUUAAUUUCAAAGAUGCACAUAAUUAGACUCUAAACUAAAGAAAUUCUUAUUGUUUUCCCUUGAACUUAUUUAGGCAAAUAAAAGGUCGAAAGAGAUUUAAGAUUGCGAGAUUAAUAAUAAUUUAUAAAAUUAAAUAUAUUAUGUAGUAUUAAUUAUCUAAAUCAUAAAAAAGAUUUAUUUUGAUUAACUAAAUCUUAGUAAUUAAAUUUUAUUUAUAUCAAUUUAGGAAAAAUAAAAUGAAGAGGAGCCGGAUCCAGAUAUAUCCUUGGACAACUCUUGAUUCACAUAAAUUGAAGUGAGAAAUGGUAGAGGAAGUGAUGAACAACAAACAGAUCAUUCUAAAACAUUAUGUGGAAGGUUAUCCUAAGGAAUCUGAUAUGGAAUUUAAGAAUAACAACAUUAAAUUGAAACAAUUUACAAGUGAGUUUAAAUUUCCCAUGUAAUUGUGUAGACCUUGGAUGUUUUUUUAUUUAACAUUAUAUAGGGGUGUUUGGUAAUGAUGAGUAUAUUUUCUUAGAAAAUGAAUGAGUUUCAUAUUUAUUUUCUUAUAUUUAAUACGAGUAAGUAAAAAAUAUUUGUGUAUAAUCUAGAUAAAUACUAUGUGAGGUAGGCGUGUGGGAUAUAUAUUGCUUUCCGGUGGGGAUGAGAGUUUAGAUAAAGUGUGUUAGAGAACGGGAGGAGGACACAAUUGAAGUGGAAUUUCAUUUGUGAAACUUAUUUUCCUACUUCCAAGAUAACUUUUACGAUAUGAACAUGAAAAAAUUACUGGGCAUACGAGUUUGAUACCUUCGUAUCCGAGUUCUCAAAAUCUCACUCAAAAGGUUCUGAGUUGGAAUCCCAUUCUAACUAAGGAUUCUUAUGGUUCUGGAGGAUCCAACUACAUGAGAACCAGGAAUGGAGGGCUUCACCCCCCUCCCCCCCUUCCGCCUGACUCUUUGGUCUUAAGAACGUUGGUUUUAAGAAUGAGUCAUUGCCCUUCUCCGACCCUGACUGCCCAACCUUAGAGCGGACAGCUAAUGCGUUCCACUUAUUGAACAGGGUUCUAUGGUCGGUUUGUGACCCCCGGAUGCCGAAGCCAUCCUUGGGGUGAUCUCAUAGUUCCUACGGGGUGGAAAUGAUGGGAUCGGUUCAUGGAUUUUCCUUCCUUUUCUUUUGUUGCAUUUCACUCAAAGGGUUGAAUGGAGAUAGUGCAUCAAGCUUUUCGCUAGGGCCAACUUGAUCCUAUUCCCCAGAGAUCUCAGAUGAGAGAUAUCUGGGAGAGAAAAAUGUUUCCUCCGCGCACCCUAUUUCAUUUUUCAUAUCUUGAUAAUGUUUCUCAUAAGUACUUUUCUUUUCUAUUAUAUUAUAGCCUAUCACAGGAUGUGGAGUGGCUAAAGUUUUGAAGUCUGGUGACUCAAAUUUCCAAGAAGGGGUAGUGGUGAUUUUGGUAGUGGAGAAGAUAGGUAUGCUUCAUUUGAGGUGGAGAAUGGUUCAUCGAGUCAUCGAGGAUCUAUCGAUGAUGAUAUUGAAUGUGGUGAUAGUGAUGAUGAUGAUGAUGAUAAUCGCUCAGCUUUCUCGGAUUACCAUGACUCACCACAGCUAGUUUCAAAGAAUGGUGUUGCUGAAAUUGAUGUGUUGAAGACAUUUUUCUUAUACUUGUAUGGUAUUGUGUCAGCUUGUUCUUGACAUUGUAAGUAUUGAAUUUCGUCGCGUUUUGUCCUUUUUUCAUUGAUGUGUAUUGAAUUAUUUGUAGUAAUGAUUAUAUAUUAGAGAUUCAUAUGCCAGUAGAAAAUGUCGAGAACUUUUUAUUUCGUAAAAUGUUGGCCUAAGAUGAAUUGAGAUGGGGAACAUGAUCAAUGAGGACUGAGACGUAGUAGUUAUUGUUGUUGUUUUUGUGUAUUGAAGCUUCAGAAAUUUUGUAGUCAUUCUUAUACGUUUACUUUAGGUCCUGUGCUUUCUAGGCGUCAUUUCGUCCUAUAAAUUAGAGAUUCCUAUGCAAGUAGGUAAUAUAGAGAACGUCUAGUACUGUUCAUGAUUAUGUUUAUUUCGUAAAGUGUUGUCCUGAGGUGAAUUUAAGUGGGGAACUUGAUCACAUAUAGACGAUCCCAGCUUGUUUUAGACUGAGUGUUGUUGUUUAUUGAAGCUUAAAGGAUGUUUUUGCUCUUCUUAUGUGUUGACAUGGGGAAUAGAUACAAUAAAAGUCUUCUUGGGGAUAAACUAGGGAAGUUAAUUCCCUGCGCCUUUACUGAUGAACACUGUGCACUUUGCGAUGCAAGCUGUUUUGUCCAAGGCCAUUACCGGGUUUUGGCAUCAAAGAUUUCAACCUACAGUGAUGAUGUCUUGGAGAGACUAUUCUUUGAAAGGUAACAUUAAGACUAAUAAUUCCCUUUUUUCUUUGGUUAUGAUUGAGUAGAAAGCUAAAAGUAUUUGGAAGGCAUAUGAUGAUAUAGAGUAGGAAAUAUGUGUACAAUGUGUUUAUGCACUUCUCCAGUGGAUUUGUUUACGAAACAUAGAAAGACGAGAGUAGGAUUAUUAACGAGCUUGAAUGUAUGUGGAUCUUAUGAGUUGACAGCUUCAAUUAGCCAUAGUUUGUGACUUAGUUAAGCCCACAUGUUACACUUAUUAGCUUAUUACUGAUAUAUCGACAAUGGUUUCAAAUGAACUUUUAUGUACACAAAUAGAGGCAGUUCCUGUUACGUACGAGAAUCUCAAUUUUUAUCCAAGUUAGUUCUUCAUGAGUUCAAGACAUAUAAUCUCUUAUGUCUUUCAUUUCUAACCUUUAUGUAGGAAUCUUUUUCCACGAUAUCUUAAUGUCGUCUAUAAAUACUGGCUUUCAAUAUUAUCCUGUUAAUUGUUAUGUUCACUUCUUAACAACUAAUACUAUAGACGGCCUUUGCCUUUCACAGUUGUACCGACAGCUCUUACAACAGCAAUGAAUGUGAACCUCAGCAAUGCAUCCCUUGUUUUCAUCUCAGUCACAUUUGCCACUAUGGUGUGUAACUCUUUCUCCUUAAUAUUUUUUCGAUCAUACAGUUUGUGUCAAUACUGAUAGACUGCAAUUUUUUCUUCAAAAAUUGAGCUCUGAGAAAGCAUGUUUGUUAAACUCACGACCUUAACAUUCGUCGAGGGCUCUAGUAUUUGCAUUUAUGUACCUUGAAAUUUAGCAGUCACAACCCUCUGCCACUAAAGUAAGUGUGAUUGUCAAAGCCUUCAAGGGCCACUCAAAUAAUCGUCUAUUAUCGAUAAGAAUAACAGAUUUCUUACUUUGUUUUCUCCUUCCUUAUUCUGAUACGAACUCUCUGCCCAUCUUUCUCCUAUUCUUCGCAUUUGCUUUCAGGUACUACUUUUAACCACUGAUCUCUUAUGUUUUAUUGUGCUUUUUUAUGGGGGGUAGCGGGCCAGAAGCAUCGAAUUUCUACUUGAUCCUUUGUUAUAGAUGUACAUCCAACAAUAUUAUUCAUAAAUGCAACUUUUUUUUCCAUAUGAGGACUUAAUAGAAUGUGAUUGUUAAUUCGUUAUGGACUAAAAACCUGAAAGCGUCUAUGAAAUAACUAUCUUUGAUGAAUACGAUACAUUUGACAGGGCUCAUAUCUAAGCUGAAUAAAUGGCCUCAAUUAUUUGUGUAAGGUUGGAGUCUCCAAGUGUAAAGCUGCUGGGGAUCAUCUUGGUCAUUUCUUGUAUUAUUUAUUCUCAUUUAUGAAGAAGUAUUCAUAAUUUUCAUCUUCAUCUGUCAUUCAUAAAUCAUAUCCGUAACCUUCACUUGUGCACCAGAUAAAACGUUUACUUUAUCGUACAAUAUUUUCUCGUUUCACAACUAUCAUUGACAAUUUGGAUAAACUUAGGUAAUCUUCUUAAUGAGUGUUUUCGUAAGCUUUAUCGCCUUGUUGAUAACUGUGUCGUUUGUUAAUUUACAUCCGUUUGGUAGAUAAGUCUGACUCUAUUUUAUGAUAAUGCAGUUGCAAAGGUGACAGAAUUUGAGUUUUGGGGGUUUGUCUUUGUUAUGCUUGCUGCAGUUAUGUCUGGAUUUCGCUGGACUAUGACUCAGAUUCUUCUGCAGGUUGUAUUUUGUGACACUCGUUGCAUUGUUAUCGUUGAUUUCUUGUUCCAUUGUUUUGUCAAUAGUAUGUUUGCUUACUUUGUGUAUUUUCUGUUUGUUUUCCCAUAUCCAACUGGUUGUGCUGAACAUAAAACUGGCAUAAAGAAAGAAGCCUAUGGUAAGGACUAUGAACAACUCUUGGCAAAUUUUAAAUAUUCUGGAAAUGUUAUUAUCACCAUCAUCAUUAUUAUUAGCAGUCGUAGCAGCAGCGACUGCACCACUACUUAGACUACAUCAAAUCUGAUCUUGUUUUAAAAGGGCAGUCCGAUGCACGAAGCAUCUCACAUUCACGCAGGGUCCAAGGUAGGGCCACACCUCAAGAGAGCAUGAUGUAGGCAGCCUACCCUGAUACAAAUCAGCGGCUAAUUCCAUAGCUCAAACCCUGCUUUGUCUUAGUCCUAGUUUUGACCAAAUUAAUAUGUUGAUUCGUUAUUUGUUUUAUAGUUUGUGAAUAAAUUGUGUAAUGAAAUGCAUGCUUUGGUUAUUGCAGGUCUAAAAAAUCCACUCACACUAAUGAGCUAUGUUACUCCAGUAAUGACUCUUUCAACUGCUGUGUUGUCCCUUAUUUUUGAUCCGUGGCACGAAUUCAGACACACCAAUUACUUUGAUACGUCAUGGCAUAUAGCUAGAAGUUGUUUGUUGAUGCUUUUUGGCGGAACUUUGGCUUUUUUUAUGGUAUGUAUGUGUCUAAGCACUGGUAUCAGUUCAAUUUGUGGAUUUUCCAUCUCAUAGUGAAAAUGAAGCCUUCUAAUAGGCUUAGUUCGUUUAGAAAUGAUUAUCAAUUAUUAAAGAACUUGGACGAACAUAACGAUAACUUCUUCAUGCUUACCUAGCAACGUUUGUUUACUGCAGGUGUUUGUUCCUAGCACUUCAGUCGUCCUAAAUCAAAACGACUGUAUGUUUACUUAAGCUAUAGUAGUUCAAUCAAAAUUGUUGAUAUCGAGCCAUUUUUAGUCGAAAACGUGACUUUGGCAUGGUUUAAUGGCAUGUGUUGAAGUCGUAAUUUUUCCAUUUUCCUUACUCAGGUAUGACAAAAUUACAUAAAGGUAGCACAAGUGAAGAUGAAACUGGAUCACCAUUAGGAUAUGCAGCUACCAAGUAUGUUAUACUUGAAGAAAUGGAAGAUCAAGACCAUGGUCCUUGAAGUAUUAUUACAUAUGACAUUCCAACUACGCUGCACUCUGAUGGCGUUUUGUAUUUGCAACGGAAGGAAAGGGACGAAAAAAUGCAUAGAUUUUCUAGCAAAUGAAGGUCAAUCGUAUACAUGAGGAAGAUUUCUUAAUCAAGGAAGAUGAGGAAGUUGAGAUUUUUCGCCUAGUAGACUUUAAGACAUGUUGCUUAUAGAAGAUAUUAGGACUUGAAAAAGAAACUUACAAAAAUGUUACUGGUUAAGAACUAACUACUUAAAUACACUACAUUACAAUAUUCGGAAUUUUACCAGAUUUUGGUGCAUCGAGAAAAUAUGUACUAGGAAUAAAAUAAAGAUUAUUUCGCUCGAUCUAGGUAUCGCCUAUAAGUUUCUCAAAAGAUUAUUUUACAUGACAUGUUUAAUAUUACAAAAUUAAAGUGUAUUUUGAAACAUUAUACAUAUUUUUAGUUUAAGAUCAUGAGAUUUUAAAAGUCGUCUUUACUUUCUUAUAUCAAUAUUAUGUAUAACCAAGACAUACAAAUUAAAAUUAAGGGAGUAACUUAAUUAGUACUAAUUUUUUUUUAAAAAACAAAUUUACCACUAGACAGUGUCUAGUGGUAUUUUAUUAAACAUAAAAAAUAUCAACAGGAACAAGUACAAGCAAGGGGGCUAGGCCUUACCUUACUAAUCCUAAUAAAGUACCUAACAAGCAUGAAGAAAAUAAGAGCUAGAGAGAACUAAAUAUUUUUUUAUUAUCACAAAGUUUGUAAUACACUCAAUGAUGAUAUUACAAAUGAGGAUGCUUAAAUAAUGUAAAAGUAUGUCAAUCAAGAAGCAAGUUGAGUUACCAGCCUAAAACUUUCUAUUACUAAAGCAUGAAUUAAAAAAGAUUGAUUAUCCAUCAAAAGUAACUUGAAGUAUUUUUCUCUUGUCUUCUUCUUCAAACCUAUCCAACAACACUUGAUGAUUCAUACCUUCUUUAUGGAUUUAUUGGAUCUAGUUGAACCUAUUGAUACUGUCAAAUGGUUUUGCUUUGCCUGUCACAUUGGUAGGUGCCUUGGAACAAACUCCUCAGUCAUUUUACCGUCCCAACUAUGUUGCCUUCCAUAUGUCUUCUUUUUGCUUUUGUUGCUUCCACUUCUUUGUUGCCUAGGUGAUAUAUCCCCUUCCUUAGCCACUCUAUCAAAGCAAAUGUCCAACAUAUUGUCUUCCUCAUCUUCAUCAAGAGAAUCCUCACCCAAAUUCACUCCAUCUUCAUCAAGAGAAUCCUCACCCAAAUCAAUUGUAUUUGACACUAAGACACUCGACUCAUUGUUCCUUGCAAGCACACAUUUAGGCACAAAUACAAGAGCUUCUGGACUUAAUUUGCUAUUUAAAGCAGGUGGUGAGACUUGUUUUUCUUGGAUCAAAUCGUGGUCAUUCUCUGUUAACCUUAUUUGAUUUGCUUGACACUAUUCUUUUAGUACUGGAUACAUGACAAUUCCAACACAAAUGACAAACCCAAUAACACAGAUGAAAGGACAACUAAAUUUCUUUUUAAAAACUAUUUUAAAUUACUCUAUUAAUUAUUCUAAUAUAUAAUUUUUUUUUAUCUCAAUAUAUGUGAUACUGAUAAAUUUUCGAGAAUACUCACAACUAUUGAAUUCCACAUGCAGUUUGUGUGGCUGUGUGCGGAAAGCUCUAUAUGUCUCCAUCUUUUUUAUUUCUUUUUCUUUAUACUUGAAAAUGUCGUUUGUUAGGUGGGAUAAGACGUGAUACUUUUGAGUUACUCUAGAGAUAAAAUUUAUUUCAUUAGUUGAGAUAUUUAAUGAGAAAAUUAGUUAUCUCACUAAUAUAUAUAAAAUAACUUAUUUUAUUAUAGUAAAAUAAAUAAUUUCAAAACCGACUUAUGCUUCUAAUUAAAUGAAAAAUAAAAUUAUUUAUAUUUUAUUUUGAAAUUAUUAUCUCGUUUUCUUGGUACCAAUUUGAUAUGAACCGUUAAGCUUUUCCUCUUCAAUUAUUUGGGAGCACGCUUAGUUCUUAUUUUUUGUAUUAUAUAGUUUUAAUAAAUAGUGAUUUUAGUGAUAAUUUCAGUUUUAUUUUAUGUGUUAUUUGACUAUACACAUUUAAUCUUAAAUUAUUAAAGUUGGGGUUUUGAUGCCUGAAGUUAACAAAAGUUAACUACAUUUAUUUAAUAAAAUGAUUAUUUGAAAAUAUUAAAAAUAGAAUAAAUGGUUGAUGAUUCUAAAUACUUGAGUGAAUAGAUUUACUCCAGUCCCUUAGCAAAAUUAAAAAAGCAAGUCAUAUCAUCUUCCAUUCUAAGUAUUCGAUUAAAUUCCUAGCUAAAACGAUAGUCUAGUUUUAGAAUUUAAUUACUCAAUCACUUUUUUGUUUGAAGACAAGGUUAGAAAAUUCGCAAAAUCACACUCUUUAACAUCUUGACACAAGCCUACUCUUCGUGGGAUCAACCCAAAUUUUUAUAAAAUAAGCAAAAAAAUUCAUAACAAAAAUAUAAUAUAUUAUCAUAAAAUUAUUUUUAAAAUCUACAAUUUUUAUUGAUUGAACUUUAGUUUAAUAAAAAAAAUUAUAAUUAAAUAUUACUCCCUCCAUCCUAUUUUAUGCGGCACUUUUUGGAUUUCGAUAUUCAAACAAAUCUAUCUUUGACAGUAAAUUUUUCAUAGAUCUUUUAAACAUUUUGAAUUAUCAAUUAUUGUGAAUUUUUGUACUUUCUACAUAGUUUACAAAUAUAUAAAUUACAUUUUAAAAAAUUGCAGAUUUCGUACGCAAAUUUUCGGUCACACUUAAACUGUUUGACUCUCGAAAAAUGAAAAUUGUCACAUAAAUUGGGACAGGAAAAUAAUAAUAUUAAUAUCUAGCAAUAUUUAAUAAUUUACCGGUUGGUACACCUAACAACCUCGCACAUGAAUAGCAACAAUAUUUUAAUAAAAGAUCCGUACACAUUUAUGUAAUCUGACUGAUUUGAAUUAUGCGAAAUAAAAUUUAUCUUAUAAAUUGAGAUAUUUUAUGAGAUAAUUAAUUAUUUUACUACAUAUAAAAAAAUAAUUUAUCUCACCAUUAUAAAUUAUAUAAUUUAAGAACUAACUAAUACUCCUUAUUAUAUUAAAUAAAAAACAAUUUUAAAUUUUAGAUCAAAAUAAUUACCUCUCUUUUUCCUCUUCAAUUAUUAGGGUCACGUUUAAACGACUUGCACAACAUUUCUAGCUGUAAUUGGUAGGUAAAGUCCUUCAGUGAACAGCUAAAAAAAACAAAAAAAAAAAGAAUAAAGCAUAGAACAUGUGGGAAAAAAGAUAUUAUUCCCUCCAUAUUAUUGUGUAGGUGACAUCUUUUCACUUUGACACUAAAUUUAAAAAAGAAAAGAUUUUGCAAUUUAUAAUUUAAAAUAAUUUAUAGUUAUCUAAAUAUCUAUGACUCGAUUAUUUUAUUACAUAAGUUUUAAAAAAUGUUCUUUCUUACUUUCUUAAAUUUAAUGUUGAUUUAAACUAAUCUGGUCAAUUUAUGUAGCACUUUUCAUUUUUUUGAUAGUCAAAUGGUCUAAUAAAAAAUUUGUGCAUGUGAUCUUCAAAUUUUUUGAAAUUAAAAUUACAUAUUUAUAAACUACGUAAUAGUACUAGAAAUUACAAAGAUAUAUAAAAAAAUUUAUAAUCAAAGAUAAAAUUGUUUGAAUAACAUUUAAUUAUGUGAAUACUCCCUCCGUCCUAUUUUAUGCGGCAUUUUUUGGAUUUCGAUAUUCAAACAAGUCUAUCUUUGACAGUAAAUUUUUCAUAGAUCUUUUAAACAUUUUGAAUUAUCAAUUAUUGUAACUUAUAGUACUUUCUACAUAGUUUACAAAUAUAUAAAUUACAUUUAAAAAAAUUAUAGAUUUCGUACGCAAAUUUUUGGACACACUUAAACUGUUUGACUCUCGAAAAAUAAAAAUUGUCACAUAAAUUGGGACAGGAAAAUAAUAAUAUUAAUAUCUAGCAAUAUUUAAUAAUUUACCGGUUGGUACACCCAAUAACCUCGCACAUGAAUAGCAACAAUAUUUUAAUAAAAGAUCCGUACACAUUCAUGUAAUCUGACUGAUUUGAAUUAUGCGAAAUAAAAUUUAUCUUAUAAAUUGAGAUAUUUUAUGAGAUAAUUAAUUAUUUUACUACAUAUAAAAAUAUAAUUUAUCUCACCAUUAUAAAUUAUAUAAUUUAAGAACUAACUAAUACUCCUUAUUAUAUUAAAUAAAAAUCAAUUUUAAAAUUUUAGAUCAAAAUAAUUAUCUCUUUUUCCUCUUCAAUUAUUAGGGUCACGUUUAAACGACUUGCACAACAUUUCUAGCUGUAAUUGGUAGGUAAAGUCCUUGAGUGAACGGCUAAGAAAAAAGAAUAAAGCAAAUUAUUGCAGGUGACAUCUUUUACACUAUAUUUUAAAGCAAAUUAUUGCAGGUGACAUCUUUACACUUGACUAUUUUAAAACAAAAAAAAAAUUAAAAUUUAUAAUUUAAAAUAAUUUAUAGUUAUCUAAAUAUCUAUGACUCGAUUAUUUUAUUUCAUAAGUUUUUUAAAAAAAUCUUUCUUACUUUCUUAAAUUUAAUGUUGAUUUAAAUUAACUUGGUCAAUUUAUGUAGCAUUUUUCAUUUUUCGAUAGUCAAAUGGUCUAAUCGAAAAUUUGCGCAUGUGAUCUUCAAAUUUUUUGAAAUAAAAAUUAUAUAUUUAUAAACUACGUAAAAGUACUAGAAAUUACAAAGAUAUAUAAAAAAAAUUAUGAUCAAAGAUAAAAUUGUUUGAAUCUUAUGAAAGCAAUUAUAUUAUUAUCGGUGGUCGUAUUUGUACUACUAAGUCCGUGAUCACCUCCUUUCGCAUGUUAACUGCUUUUCAUUACUUGUACAUUUCAUAAUUUUUUAAAUACAUUAUACAUAUUUUUAAUUUACAAUUAUGAGGUUUUAAAAGUCGUAUUUACUUUCUUAAAUUAAUAUUCUGUCAAACUAAGACACAUAAAUUGAAAUUGAGGGAGUAACUUAGAGGGUGUUUGGAUUGAUUUAAAAAUUGAUAAAACGUAGUUUUAAGUCAGUUUUUUUACUUUUGAAAGUGUGACAAAUACAUAAGCUUGUUAAAAUACAAACCCAAUAAUUACAAGUUAUCUUUCUUUGAUCAAGUUAUAUAUACAUUACUUGUUCAUUUCAUUCUUUUUAGGACAAGUUAAGUUUGAGUACAUUUAACCAUGAACUAUUCAAUGCAAGUUAAUAUUUUGUCCAAAAACCUCAUUAAACCAUCAUUACCAACGCCACAACACCUUAAAAAUUACAAGUUAUCUUUCUUUGAUCAAGUGGUGGAUGUAAUACACUUACCUCUUGUUCUUUUCUAUCCUCAUUGUAGAAAUAACUCGAAAAAUGAAGAGCUCGAAGAGUCCUUUUCGAGGAUUUUAACACAUCUUUACCCUUUAGCUGGUCGAUUUUCUGAAGAUGAAUCGUCAAUUCUUUGUCUCGAUCAAGGUGUAAGUUAUAUAAAAGCAACGGUCAAUUGUAAGCUUGAUGAUUUCCUUCAACAAGCAAACAAAGACCCUGAUCUAGCAUUGUCAUUUUGGCCUCAAGGAACUAUGGAUGUGGACGAGACGAAUUUAUUCGUCACGCCAGUUAUGGUUGUGCAAGUCACAACAUUUGAAUGUGGUGGUCUAGCCCUAGCUAUUAGCCAUGCACACCCUGCUAUGGACGGAUCCACCACAUUCAAAAUCAUUUACGAAUGGGCUAAAGUGUGCAAAUUUGGUACUCCUUCUAAGGAGAUCAACUUCAUGAACUUCAAUUUAGGCACUCUUUUCCCUUACAAGAAAGAUCUAACAACCAUUCUUGAGCCUCCGGUUGACGAAGGCAAACGUCCAAACUCUAAGUUAAUUGCCAGAAAGUUUGUUUUUGAGGAAGAUGCAAUAUCGAGGCUCAGAGAAAAAUUUGACUCAACAACUGGCGAAGGUUUGAGUUUCAAACCUUCGAGAGUUGAGAUGAUUACAACACUUUUAUGGAGGUCACUUAUCCGUUCCACAGGAAGUACUUCACAUUUGAAACGGUCUGUAAUGUCAUUUCCACUUAACUUGCGUGGUAAAGUAGCAACUUUUCCUGAAAUUGCCAACUCUUUUGGGAAUCUUAUCAUCGAUAUUCCAAUAAAAUUUGAACACGACGAUGAAACAAAAAUGGAGUCGUUGCAUCACAUUGUAAAACUCAUAAAAGAGUCAGUUCAAGUGAUUAUCAGUAAAUGUGUCAAAGCUACUCCGGAUGAAAUAGUUUCUUUGGUUAUCGACUUAUACAAGGAUAGUUACGCCGGAUUAGAAUGGGGAGGAGACAAUGAAGUUGUGAAUUUUACAUGCGCAAGUUUAUGUAGGUUCCCCAUACAAAAAACUGAUUUUGGUUGGGGAAACCCAAGUUUAAUGCACUUUGGGUCAAGACAUAGCCAAGUUUUUUGGUUGUAUGAUACUGAAUGUGAGACUGGAAUUGUUGUGCAAAUGGAAUUGGAGGAAAAAUACAUGGAUAAACUUGCAUGUGACCAAGAUAUCAUGGAUUUUGUUAAAUUUUAGGGUUUAAUUUUCAUGUUCUUUCUUCAUUUAAUUUGUACUCCCUUUGUUUUAAUUUAAGUACGUGUGUUGCUAUUGCUUUUCUUUGGUUUAAUUUGUUUUGAAUAUAAAUAUCACUUUCUAUGAACACGCUUUGACUAUAAUUAAGUAGCAUUUCACUACAACAAAUGUGAUAUUUAGUUACGAAAUUAUUAGGUAAGAUACUAAAUUCGUCACUAAUUAUUCACCUUUUGUGACAACAAUUAUAUUUCGUGUUUAAAUGUAUGAGCAAAAUACUUUUAGUGACGAAACAUACAAUUUCGUAGCAAAGUUUUGUCCAUUUAAGUUUCCCACCAAAAAAAAGAUUGGCGCCAUUUAUUAAGAACUAUUAGUGACGCAUUUUAAGUUAUCAACGACAACUUAUUUUGUCACUAAUAAUGCAUCCAAUUUGUGACAAAUUAUUAUUUGUCUUAGAUGAGUUAUAAUUUUGGACACGAAGAUUUUUUUUUUACUAAAGAUAAGUUAUUGCAAUAGCGACAAAUUAGAAUUUGUAGUCAAAUGUUGUAAGCUUUAGCCACAAAAUUUAUAUUUAAUUGCUAUCUAAAUUUUUGUCACUAAUAAUAUAAUCAAUUAGUGACAAACAUUUUCUUUUCUCUAAUCAACUUAUGAUUUAGUGACAACAUACUUUUGUCACAUAAUAUGCAAUAUUUAAAAAGCAAAAAUUUAAAAUUUGCAGCUGAAUAAUUUUAUUAUUUUCUAUUUUUUUUUAGCUAAAUAUAAAAUAAUAUUUGAUUAGGCUUAUUAUUUACAAUUGCAAAUAGCAACUGACGAAUAUUUCUUUAAAGCGUUCUGUAUAGGUAACAACAAAAGAAAACUAUAGAAUGAUAUAAUGAUAUGAUGAUAACGUCAAAUUAUACCUUAAGAAAAUUCAAGUGCCGAUGCUAACAUAAAAUCUAAUGUGAGUGGGGAUUGUGAUAUGACAGAGAGCAAUUAUACAAAAGAUAACAUCGAUGGUAAGUUUAUUUUGCAAAUUUUUUAAAUAUUUUAUGGAUAUUUAAUUAACUAUUUUCUAUAAUGACUAAAAAUAAGUUUAAUUGUGGAGGUCUCAAGAACCCCAACUAUUUGAUUUUAAUAAAAUUAGGGAUAAGGGUCUGAAAAAUACCCCAACUUUGGUCGAAUUUGCUGUUGCGAUACUAAACUUUCAUGUGGACCUAUUACCUCCCUUAUGAUGUUUGAAUUUAGAUGCAUAUCUAAAUAUUAUGAUGGGAAUUUAGAUUAAGAUGUAUAAAUCUAAAUAUGCAUCUCAAAAUUGAGAUGUUUUAAAAUUUGAAUACUAAAUAAUUAUGAUUAUUAUAAAUAUAUUAGUAUGUAAAAUUUAUCUUUAUUUAUAAUACUAAUAAAAAAAUUAUUAAAAUGUGAACUUAAUCUAAUAAUAUAUCAAUAAUAGUUUUUUUAAAAAAAAUAAAUUAAUGGCAGUUAGUAGUGACGAUGCCUAGUUGUGGUGGUUGUGGCCUUGUGGGUGUGGAUACCCUGUUUUACCAAAGAUAUUUUUAAUUAAUUAAUUAAUUCAUUUUUCUUUUAACUUAAUCAAGUUUCGUGAAUUUCAAACAAAGUGAAAUAACUAUUUAAAUGUGUCAAAACUAUUUUUAUAAUUAUUGUUGGUGCUAUUUUGUUAUUUCAUUUACCAAAAUAUCCUAAUAUACUAUUAUAUAUUUUACAUAUAAUUUUAAGUAUUAAUUAUUUCAUUUUAUUAAUUUAAAAACUACUUUAUUUAUUAAAAAACCAAAAGUGAGUAUGUUUUUUAUUUUGUCAAAUUAAAGCCAACUGUGGUUUAAUUAUAUGAUCAGGACUCCACUAUUACUAAUAAUUACUUUAUUUUGCUAAAUCAAAGGAUUUCAUUAUUAAAUUAAUUAAUGAUUAUCUCAAUUUUACUACAUAUUGCCUUUUUCAUAAAUAUCUUCAAUUAUAAAUAAUUGAUUAAAUUUGAUUAUUUAAUCAAUAAUUGGUCACAAUUGCAACGUGAAUCGGUUAUGUUUGAAAGAAUUAUGGCUAUAACUUAAAAGAUGAUUGAUUAAUUUUUAAAUUUAAUUUGGGUCAUUUUCACUCUUAAAGAACAACUUUCAAUCUUAGCUCUUUCCCACGUCAACUUUAGUAAUGACCCUAAGAUGGACUGGUUUUGAUAAUUUGUCCCUUCUAAAUUUUUUAGUCUAAAAUGACCUCCGUAAUGGGUGAUCUUGAUUUUUCAACCCCGUUAAAUAUUAUUUUUUUCUUUUAUAAAAAAUCCUUUACUUUAGAAAAUUCUAACUUUUGCCCAUAAGACAAUUUUCAAGAUAUUUUAAGACAAUAAACCUUCUCAAUUGACAUGAAGUUCUGCCUAUCAACAAAAAUUAGAACUUAGGUAUGAUCAGACACGAUUUCUAACUUUUUUCCCCUUAAGACAUUCAAUCAAGACAUCUUAAAAUAUAAUUUGUUCAAUUCAAACUUCGAUUAAGGUAAAUUUAAUCUUUUAUUUUAAAAAAAAUACUAUUAUACAACAUAUAAAAUUAAUUCAAUAUGAUUCGAUAAUUUUAAAUUUUAUUUUGAUAUUUUGCAGUAUCCAUGAAACAUUGGCAACCAUAGUUGAUUCAACUUCGAUUUAUUUAUAGUCAUAUAAUAUAGAAUUAUGAUUUAUAUUUUUUUUAAAAUAAACAUAUAAACAAAUUAUAUCAUAUUUACACCUUACAAUCUUACGUAGAAAUAUAUGUUAAGGAAAUUACAAGCUACCUUUUUUGUGAAUCAAUAAUUUUGGUAUCUGUUUCAAUAUCAAAUAUUUUGUAGUCAAAAUUUAAACAUCUUCACAUUUAAUUUUGUACUAACAUUAGGUUGUAUGAUAUAUACUAUAACUUUUUAUGUAGCUAUACAUUUUGGCAUAUUUAUAAAUAUCUAAUACUAAAAGAAUUUAAUAUAUAUAUAUAUAUAUAUCAUAAUACUGCAAGCACAGUAUUAAAAUUUUUGACUUGAUAUCUAAUGUAUCACGUGCACCAUAAUGUUGUGCGUUAACUCAUUUAAUUGGGCUACAAAUGAUAGAUUAUAUCAGUUUGCCAAACACAUAAUUUCAUUUUAUUCUAGAGGUCUAGUUUGAUGCUACAUAUCAACUGAUGUGGUAUACCAAAUCAAAUAAAUGAGAAAAUAAGAUCAUGUCACAUAUCAAAAUGACAUAACAUUACAUUUGAUGAGAAUAAAAAUAUACAACCGCAUUUGACUUGUUUCGACAAUUAAAUAUCACCAUGUCAUUUGAACCUGACAAAUCAAAAACAAUUUAUUCUCAUCAAAAUUUUUCAUCUUAUAAUUAUAAAUAAAUAGGAGUUCCUAAUUAAGAAAAGUCAUUAAAAUUUCAAAAAAAACAACCGUGGGUCAAGAAUUACAAAUUUUCUAUAAGUUGCAAGCAUUCAAACAUUUGUGUACACAUUAUAAUUACUUGAAAAUAAAGGACAUAGAUAAAUUAAAUAUCAAAACCUUCCAGAUCAAAUUCACUUGUUUGUGGAAAAACUUGUUUAAGGCGGUCAUCAAAGUACUUAUGACAAAUCAAAUUCAAGUCAAAAUAUAUCAAAUCCAACAUAAAUUCAAGAUCAAAUUAAAAACGUUUGAAAUUAUUUUGAAAAUGAAGAACUAGAAGAUUUAUACAAAUUGUAACACUCAUAAUAUUUUUCUAUCUUGAUUAUUAAUUUUUAUACACAAAUUUUAUUGUUUGUAGCCAUAAAUUAUGGGUAAUAUAAUAAAUUUAAAAUGUGAAAAUAAAAGGAAAUCAACACAUUUCCCUGCAUCCACCAGGUAUCUUUAUAUUAUAAUAAAUACUUAAUUUUCUACCAAACUUUCUUUUUAUAUUUAUAUUUCCCUUUGUUUUAAUUUAUUUUCCAAUGAUUCAAAAAAAAAAAAAAAAUUCCAAACUCUUUUGUUUUUAGUUUAUUUUUAAAAUAAAUUCUCUUUCCUUAUUGUGGUAAGUCUUUAAUUAUAAUUUUUACAUGAUAUAUUUAAAAUUAGAAGAUUAAAAACUAUUUUGACACACUUCACUUAUUUUUAGUUUAAGAAUACACAAUUUAAAAACUCUUAUUUACUUUCUUAAAUUUUAUGUUAAGUCAAAAUCAAAUAAAUUUCUUAAAUUUUAUGUCAAAUAAAAAUCAGAUAAAAGUAUUUAACAAAAUCACAUGAAGAAAGUAAAAGAGGGUAUUCAUUUCCAAAUUUGUAGGAAAAAAACACACGUAAUUCUCUCAUUUCCUGUUCCUUCUCCACAAAUCUCUCUUUUAGUUAUUAGCCACAUCCACUCCUUAUCUCCCCACGUAAUACUUCUCUCCCAUUAUCUUCAUUUUUAUUUUUUAUUUUUAUUGAAUUUUGAGUUUUUUAUCUGCAUAAUCCUUAAAUAUAAUAUGAAUAUGCAACUCUCUUACUUUCUGCUAUACCUCAUUUGAAUUUUUAGUGGGUUUCUUAAGUUUAUUUUAAUUUGUGAACUUUGUCUCCCUUCACUCUAGUGUUCUUUUUUUUAAAAAAAAAAUAGUAUGAUAAUUUAACUACGAGUUACUUGUGUUUAGCCUAUGAGUUUGUUCUGUGUUAGAGACUUUUAGGGACUUGUUAAAAAAUAUGAUCUAAUUUUUUCGACUGCUCUAUAUACUAAGUAAGUUUCUUCAUCUCGAUUGUUGAUUUUUUUUUGUUUGCAGACAAAACUCAAGGUCUAUAUCUUUAGAAAAGAGGGAAUGACAAUUUUACCAUGUAAUUUGAGUUAGUAUCUUUUCUAUUUAUUUCUCAUUCUAAUAUCAAUUUUACAAUUAAAUUUUGAAAAUAUGUCAUGUUUAUAUCAUAAUUGCAGCGAGUACAUAUUAAAAUUGUAUUCUUUUCCUUUUCACACAGGUAUGUACAUGAAUGGAAAAAUUGAAUGAAGAGUAAAGUUAUCAGAUAAGUUGUUUACAUUAGCAUAUAAGAAGUAACAUUUUUAUUUUCUUAUUGACGACACAUUAUGUACAUUCGUUAGGAUCAUAUAAUAAUCUUUAAUGAGAUUAUUUCAAUAUUAUUUUAGUUCUAAAAUAUUAUAGGAUCAUGAGUGACACUUUUUGUUAUUAUGUUAAAUUUUUUAUUUUGUUAUGUUGAGUUUAUAUUAUAAUAUGAUAUCUGCUAAGUUUAAAAAUUAAAUUUAAUAUUUGUCAUGAUGUUAAUUUAAUAAAUUUUUACGACUUAGACUUUUCCUUGUAAAAUUUUUAUAUUGAUGAAUUAAUUAAUCUUGUAAAAUAUGAGAAAAUUUGGCACCAUGUAUAAAUUAUAAAAUUAACGAGAAACUAGUGAAUUAUUACCAUUUACAAGUUUGAACGUCAUCAAAUGUUUGUUGUUUUAACUGUAUGAUAAUGGAUGAAUUUUAUUAUUAUUUAAGAUAUUUUAAUUAUUUAUUUUUCAAUUUAUGUAAUUCUAAUUUAAAAAAUAAUAUCAAUACGAAUAAUUAAAUGUCAUCGAAUAUUUGUGCUCAUCAAAAGAUUAUAUCAUCAAAAGUAACUUUUAGCAAGGACUAAAUCAUACUUUUCAAGACAAAUAUUUUUUUCACAAAUAAAUUAUUUCGUCAUAAGUCGACUACAUUUAGUGACAAACUAUAUUGUCACUAAUCAUGAUUAUUUACAGUGACAAGUAUAUCUUGUCGGUAAAAACAAUACUUUUAGUGACAAGAUGAUAGAUUUAACUACGAAAUUGUUAACCUUUUUAUGAUGAUAAAUUUGUCCCUAAUUUAUAUAUUUUAGGACGAAAUAAUUUUUUUAUAUAAAAACAAGUCAUUAGUGACAAAAUUACAUUUUUUCAACUACUAAAUACAUAUAACUUUAGAGACAAUUGAUGUUGUCACUGAUUGAACUAAAUAUAUAGUGAUGGUGUAAUUUUGUCGGUGAAAAUAACUUUUUAGUGACAAAAUCAUACUAUUAACAAAAAAUUUACACUUUUUAUGACAUAUAGAUUUGUCACAAAUAUCGACACAUUUGGGGACGAUUUUUCUUUUUGUAGUUAAUAUAACUUUGUUAGUGACGAUGCACUAAAUCGUCUUUGUAUACUUUUAGUGACGACUGAUUGACGAAAUUUUUUUCGUCACAAGAUCUUUGGUGACGAACUAUGAUUUAUAAGUGACGAAAUCAUUUGUCCUUGAUAGUCAAAUUUGUUGUAGUGUUUUAAGUUGUAGAAAAGAUUAUACUAAAAUAAAUGGGAGAAGGCACAGGUACCCCUAGACUAUGAUAGAAAUUCCAGAGACAUACCUUAACUAAACUAAAGUCCUAUUACCCCCUGAACUCAUUUUAUAUAUAAUAUUGUACACCUUUUGGCUUAUAUAGACUAGAGCUGUCAAUAUGGGCUAGCCCACCCCAUCCGGGCUGACCCAUACAGGCUUUGACAUUUUACGGGUCAGGCCGGGCUAGCCCAUUUUUGGUGUGGGUUAGAAAACGAUCGGCCCAGCCCACAAGUACAUGGGCUACAGGCUUGCCGGGCUAGCCCACUUUUUUUAAAAUUAUAUAUUUUUUAUAAUUAUUAAAAUAAAUUAUAAAUUAUAAUUUAAAAAUAUUAUCAUAAAUAUCGACAAAACAAUAUUACAUGGUGUUAAUGUUACUACUUGUUAAUCAAAUCCACAAAUAAAAUUAUCUUUAUAAUAAUUAUUAAGGUUUUUUCAAAUAAAAGUAUAAAUAUCUAAAUAGAAAUAUUAACAUAAUUGUUUUGUCACAUUAAAACACAAAAAAUGUGACAAUAUUCCAACCAUAAAAAAGUUAAAAAUAAACUCCUUAAAAAAAUCAUGAAACUUAUGGCAUAUCUAACANNNNNNNNNNNNNNNNNNNNNNNNNNNNNNNNNNNNNNNNNNNNNNNNNNNNNNNNNNNNNNNNNNNNNNNNNNNNNNNNNNNNNNNNNNNNNNNNNNNNNNNNNNNNNNNNNNNNNNUUUAAUUUUAAAUUUUAAUAUUAUAUUAUAUUUUUAAAAUUAUUUUUAUUUGGCCCACGGGCCGGCCCUACCUAUAUUUCUCAAGCCCCACAAAUCAGCAGGCUUAUUCAGGCUGGGCUAAAAAGCCCUUUUCUUAAAUGGGCUCCAAAAAUCUUAGUCCAGCCCUAUUAAAUCCCGGGUUAGGCCAGGCCGGCCCAACGGGCCUAGCCCAUAUUGACGGCUCUAAUAUAGACACGUGAUUUUUGACCGAGCAUAAGACUUUACACUUGUUUUUAUUCCUUAAAUAUUUAUUUUAGGUUAAGUUAGAUAUUUUGAUUUUUGUCUUAUUUUAGUAAGUUUAUUUUAAAAGAUUUGAAAAUAACAAAAAAGAAAAGAUAUUUUCAAUAUAUUAAACUUGUUGGACAUUUAAAAAAGAAACUCGUUGGACAUUUAAAAAAUAUUUUCUUUGAUUAUAAUCUUUUUUUUAAAAAUAUUUUACAUUAUUAAUAAUUCUGAUUAAACCAAAGUAGCGUGUGAUUUUGAUUUGCUUUAAUAUCAUGCUGGAAUGAGUCAAAGAUUGUUAGAAUAAAUAAAUAAAUAAAUAAAUAUAUAUAUCAGUUUUUAUUUUGGGCCUAAGAAUUAUAUGAAGGGAUGGAGUUUUAAAUUUCAGUUAUGUGCUUUUGCGGGCUAUUUUUGCUGUUAGUUUUAUUAUUAUUUUGUACCAAUAAUAAAAUAUAAUUUUUAAUAUUGCUUUAAUUAGUUGAUAUUUUAUUAUAAUUUAUUAUUUAUAUGUAUAGUUAAUUAUUAUUUUUUUAAAAGUAAAAUAAAACUAAAACUAAAAAUAAGAAAAUAACUCACCCCCACAAAUCCCAUAUACUCACCGUUAUCAUACCACAUUCUCGAGUCAUGAUGGCACCUACUAUACCCUACCAGUAGGUAAGCCAACCCGUAACCCAGAACAUCAAGCAAUGAGUGAAAGGGCAAAAACUAGCGAAAAUAAUAAUCUAAACCAGAAUAACAAGGCGGAAGCAACCCAAAAUAAAUAUAUACAGAAAUACCCUCCCAGAACCUGGAAGUCACUAGUACAGAGCUAUACUAAUAAAGAGUACAAGUCCCAAAGUGGACCACAACAGAGCGUGUCUCAAAGGCAACAAGACUAGCUAAAAACAAAAGAAGGAGACAGAACAAACCCCAAAAACGUCAAAGUAGCUCAACCCUCGUCUCCGAAUCACAGCUGCAAAAGAAGGCUGGAACUAAUCACCGCUAGUAACUGGUACUGGGACCUGCAUCACAAAAUAGAUGCAGAGCGUAGCAUGAGUACCAACACAACAUGUACUCAGUAGGUAUCAUAGGUCGACUGAGCAAAAAGGGUAAAAACAAUAAGAAAUGACAGAAUCAAGACACAGAGAGGUCAAAGCGAAUAAGAAAAGAAAGCACACGAGCAUACCAGAAAAAAACUAAGUACAACUAAACUAAACCUAACUGGACCCCCAAAAGCCCAGAAGGUACACUCGUGCGCAAGUUCAAAUAAAACCUGAACGGACCCCCAUAAGCCCGACAGGUACACAGCAAGGCUAAGUCUACUGAGAAAGAAGAAAACCGGGCUCCCAGCCCAAAGUAACUAAGAUAAUCCAUCAGACCCCACCCAGCCAGCAGUACACUCCCAGCCCAGCUAGAAAGAGUGACCCUAGGGGGCACCCAACCAAACAGUCCACUCCCAGCCCAGCUAGAAAGAGGGACCCGUGAGUGAGGUAGAUAUCGCGAGUCGUCCUACCAUGCAGUCAGCUCCCAGCCCAGCUAGAAAGAGCGACCCGGGGACACCCAGCCAGCAGCACACUCCCAGCCCAGCUAGAAAGAGAGGCCCAGGGGCGAUCGCUAAUAUCACCGAGUCUACCCAGCCAGCGAUACGUUCCCAGCCCAGCUAGAAAGAACGACCCCGGGGGUGAUGGUAUCUUCAAUAGGAUUCAAUCCAACAACAACCACCGUGGAACGCUGUCCACUCUAAGAUAUCACAUAAAAGGCUCCAAACCUAUACUAUCUCAAUCCCAUGCCUCGAGUGAUGCACCAAACCUUCAAAAAUGCGUCGGAACCGCAGAAUAAGAGGGAGAACAUACAGAAGUGCAGCAAGUAGCGAUAACGCCUAAUCUAAGGCUCAAACUAUCAGACUCAAGUCUGCUAUUCCAGUCUACAAGGAGCUAAGUCAUCCGAACGACGUCGGCAGAAAGUCAAGGCUAUCCAGCCCACACGGGUCAUAAGUCUAAGGCAAAGCUAGCCUAACCUAGACUAAGGACAUCAUGUUUACGGUUAAGGAUGAACAAGGCAUGCAAUACAUAGCAUGCAAGCAUACAAUAACAUUUAACACAUAAGCAUGCAACUCUACUAAACCGGUUAACAUGAUACUAUACCCGAAAUGUGACCAAUCGAUCCUAACAUGAGGUAUCUAAUCAAAAUAAGGUAGUAAACUGGUACCCACUCCCAAUUCACUACAAUCGACAUGCUUUUACACAAUUAAGCUCAAUCUAAAAGAAAGGAAGCCGUAGCCUACCUUAAGGCCGAUCGCGCGCUCUCCAAAUCACUUUACCGGACUUUUCCCUUUCCGAACAGUCUAGAAACGCUGCCCCGCUAUCAAAAAUAGAAUCACAAUGUUACUACGGUCAUUUAGACACCAAAAUUACAACAAACGGAGACGGGUCAAUUUUGGAGUCAAAAUGAGAAUCGUGGGACCCGCACCAAACUGUCCGAAUUUAACUCCGUCAAGAGAUCCUAAACAACACCCCAAACUUGUGUUCCAAAAUGGAACAUAAUUCGAGGCUCAAAACACAAUAAAAACCAACAAGCAAGAAACCACACUUUAAUCAACUAAAAGAAACCCUACAGCAUCAGUCUAAACUCGAAAUAAACAAGAAUCGAAAAGUGCCCAGCACUCCUUGAACACUCUACGACGAAGUCACGACAAUUCUCAACAUGUGGGACUUCGAAUCACCCAGAACCGAGCUAAAAUGAGUGAGAUAUGACCAAAACAAAAAUACUAAAAACAAAAACUCGAAAAAGGUACUGCAGUCAGGUUUUAUCGCGAAAUUACCUUGAACUACGUGCACCCAACAACUUUCGAACACCCUACAGCGAAGCCACCAAAAAUACGAAGCUUCUGCAAUUUUUCCAACAACUAAAAACUCCAACGGGUACUCCGAUCUCGUUCGGAACUCCGUGCACGCAAACGACCAGGUGACCGAACUGUCAGUCCCAGCAAGUCAUAAAUGACUUGGGGUCGCUAUAAGAACGCUCUAAACGACACACAGAAGAAAAGACACAGAAAUGACCAAGAGGGUCAUUACAAACAGUCACCCCUAUACCCACACACGACAAAAAAAUAAAAAAAAGGAUUGAGUUGUAAUUUUUGACGGCUUCAACUUCACAGAUUCAAAAGUCUGCAACUAUUAAUAUUUUUGGGAAAUCAGUAGAUUGUUAGGCAUUGUUUUUCGUGGUUUAAUCUUCAUAAGAGAUAACAUUUAUUUCUUCUUGGUAUAAGUUAAUGUCACGAUUGUUCAAGAUUUGAUUCCAAUGUUAUAAAGUUAUUCAAAUUUUAUGUGUUUAGCUUUGCCAAUAUACUAUUGAAAUACAUGUAAAUAUUUGUAUUGUUGUAUUUGGAUUAAAUAUGAUAUAACAUAUAUCGCUUCUUGCUUUCGUUGAUAGUACAAUUUAAAAAUCAUUAUUUUUUUUAGUAAAAAAAAUGCAUUUUUUAUACGAUUUAAUCGUUAUCAUCCGAAGUGUUUUAGAUUCUUGGUAUUCUAUAGAUCAUAGAUCUAAUGCCAGUUUCAAAUGUUGUGUGAAUAUAAAUGUUAGGUUUUUUUUUAUUUUAAAGGGCUCUUUUAUGUCCAUUAAUUCAGAAUAUUAGCUUUUGCGGUGAUCACUUGCAAAUAAUCAUGCCGCUUCAUUGGUUAAGCGAAAAUAUUUGUUAAAUUAGAUAUAGCCAGAUAUGUCAUUAAUUAUUAGUUACACUAUGUUUGGAUCAUUGUUACCCAUUGUAUUGUAUUGUAUUAUAUUGUAUUGUAUUGUAUUGUAUCGUUACUAUACCUACAAUGUUUGUUUUGAUUGUUACUUAAAAUGUAUUGUAUUGUUAAAUUUCAUUGUUACGUAACAAUGAAAGCCCUAUUUUAUGGAACAACCAAUUUGGUGUGUUCCCAUUGUUUCUUAAUUUCCUUUUCCAAUUAUAUCUUUACAUAAUAUUUCAAAAUACUAUUUUACCCUUUACCUUAAUUAUUUAAAUCUAGUCAAACCUCCUACCCUAGAAUAAUUAAGGAUAUUUUAGUAAAUUUAUAAAUUACAAUACAGUAUGAUACAAUCAAACCAAACAAUUAAAAUGUUAUUAAACAAUAACAAACAAUACAAUCUAGCCAAACAUUGUAUCUAUCAUACAAUAAAAUACAAUACAAUAGAGUACAAUACAAUACAUUAUGAAACAAUGGGUAACAAUAAUCCAAACAGAGUGUUAAAGUGUGCCUUUAGUGUAUUUGUUUAUUUAGUUAUGCUUUAUUGUAAAUUAAUAAUUAUAUUUAAAAAAUUAUAAACUAAUGACAUUCUGUUUUGCUAGAAACGAUAAGUACUAUCAUGUUAAUAAGACAAUGUAAUUAAUUGAAUAUAAUAUUUCGUGGGCAGGUGAUAAGUUAAAUGUAGAAAAGUUUGGUCACUUUAACAUUUUACUAUUUAUUUUUAGACUGCUUUAAUAUAAUCAUAGGUAUAUAUUAGGCUCUAUUAUACAUUAGAUGAGUAACAAUAAUAAUUAAAUUUCAUCUCAAUUAAGAAUGUGGUUCCACAUCUUUUUGAGAUACUUAAGAAACUCAAGGAUGCGGUUACGCACCUUGGCCAAAUUAUUUUAAUAAUUAAUUUUGUUAAUUCAAACCAAGAGGUGUAAAUUGAGAUUAUUAGGUGUGAUGAACUCGAGAGGGGAAGACAAUUAUGUCUCCAAAUGUCAAGAUCGAGAAUGCAGUUAUGCAUCCGGUUUAAGACUAAUAAAAAUUCUAACAAUUAAAAAAUAAGCAAACCAUGACAUAUAUACACAAAUUAUCCAAAAACAUAUCAAGAUAAGUAUAACUCAAUAAAAGAGACCGUGCUAGAACCACGAGAGUACUCGAGGGAUGCCUAAUACCUUCCCCUCGAUCAACAGAAUUCCUUACCUGAAUUUCUGGUUCGCAGACCAAACAAAGAGUCAUUUCCUUUUGAUUAGGGAUUAAAUAAAAUGUGACUUGGAACAUCAUAAUUCAAUUCCAAGUGGCGACUCUGGAAAAAAUAAAAAAAAUAAAAAUUUAUCUCUUAAUUAAUACGGACACUUAAAAAAACCCUUUCCACCGUGCGAAAAAAGAGGUGUGACAUCUCUGACGACUCCGCUGGGGAUACUAACCAGAAUUCGAGCUUUGUUAUGUUGACUUUUAUUUUAUCUUAUUAUUUAUUUUUUUGGAUAUAUUGUGUGUGAUUGCCUGAUAUGAUACUUGUUGCUCUUUUAUCACUUUUUAUAUUGUUGAACUAUAAAUUGUCUUUCUUAGCGCAACCAUCUGAGUUGGCAUGGUUUAAUGGUGUCACACCCCAAAUCCGGAUGUGAUGGCACAUGUCCAUUUCCCACCGGACACGUCAGCCUAACCCAACCACAACGAUAGAGAAGUAGAAAUACGAGAAUAAAAGAUAAUAAAUAAGCGGAAGACUUUAAUUAAGACUCAACACUACCCAGAAUUUGGUUGUCACAUGUACAAACCUCUAAAUACAGAAUUCGAAUAAAAAUAUACAAGUCUCAGAGUAUAGUUCUCGAAUAGAACAAAACUGAAAGUAAAGAUAACUCAAGGGCACGUCUGGAAUGAACCGCUACCUCUCGAGUAUGUCCCGAAGCUCAAUCUGCUAAAGAAAGAGUAUGUCCCAAAGCUCAAUCUGCUAAAGAAAAUACUAAGCCGAAUCUGAGAGAGCUGUCAACCUACACAAUUGUGUAGAAGCAAGGGUGAGUACCGAAAACCACAGGUACUCGCAAGUAACUCUAAACUAAGCAAAACUAGCAGCUACAAACAACUCCUUUCAAUCCCAACCGAACCACCGAAACUUCAAUCUAGCAGCAAACCAACCAACCUAUACUCAUAUUCAACAGCCAGAACCAACAGUAUAUCCUCAUCAACCUCAGAUCAACAAAUAAGAGCAAGUAGAUCAAAUUCCACAUAAGAAGGGUAAACCGAUACAAUCCACACAUCACAGACAAAGAUAAGGCAAAUGCGAUGCAAAAUGCAAUAAUGAUGUCAUGUAGUCGUGAUGCAUGUCUGUCCUACGAUACACAUCUGUUGACGUAAUCAGUCCGCGCUGAAUACUCAAAUCAGAACCCAUGGGGGCCACACAUGGACCAUGUAUCACCGCCGGAACCAGAUCCCAUCGGCAUCCAAAUCGCUAGUCGGAGCUAGUCCAUCUCAUAUAUCUCUAGCCGGAACUAGUCUCAACUGUGUCUCAUAUCCAUCCAUCAUCAUAUCAGUGUCUCAGAACUCAUGCAACAGAUAGUUCACACAUGUGAUGAAUAAUGAAUAUGCACAUAUCAUCAAUCACAAUCAUAUCACGAUCACAUCAUAAUAUUGUUGACACCCAAUUUUGACCCUCCCCGAUAAUAAUUAACUUCUGAGCUUCUUAAUUUUCAAACGAUUUAAAAUGAUUAGAUUUAUAAAAUUCAAACAGUUUCAAGAUUAGUUUAAAUAAUUUCAGUUGAUUUUUAUAGUUUUGAAUAAUGAAUAUGUUUCAUAUAAUUAUAUACAUAAUUAGUAUAUUUUACAAAUGUUUGAAAAUCAUAUCAAAGAUUUUACUUUGUUAAAAUAAAUAUUUUAUUAAUUUAGUUUUUAGUUCGAAUUAUAGUUUUAAUCUUGGAUUAAUUAGUUCAUAUAUAAAUCGAUUAGUUUAUAAUUAAGUUAAUUAUUUUAUUUCGUUAAAAUUAAAGAGCUCAUAAAUUAAUUAUAUUAAUCCGUACCUCUUGAAUUCUAGCCGAACUUAUCCUACUCAACUAAAUUUGGAUACGUCUUUAAGCUCCACUUGGUUAUGACUUAGAUUUGUAUGGCUAACUUAAAUUCAAUUUUAUCUUGAUUAAUUUUUUUAAAACACCAAAAUUUUGGGCUUUUUUCCAUUCCCUUAAAAUGACCCAAAUGCUCAACCCAUUUCCCAUUCUGGUUCCAAUUCAUUUCCUCCAACAACCUAUUGUCUUCCAAUUCCCUUACAAUUCCCACCGACCCAACACAUUAUUUGAGCAGCCCAUCAAAUUAUGACCCAACCCGGCCCAUUCAUCUAUUCUCAAAAGAAUCCAUCAACCUUUAACAACAGUCCAAACACGUUCACUGAAGCAAACGGAAAAGCAGCGAGGAACAGAGACGUACGCUGCGAAUUCUGUUUCUUCUCCAAUGUCCUUAUCGACAUUUAAUAUCGUAACAACAAAAGGGAGCACGCGUUUCUCCCCUUUCCCUUUUCGGAAUGAGUUGAAAAUUGCAAAGAAAGGGGUGUCUGGCCGAAAAUGGUGAAAGUUUUUUAGAUUUUGAAAUUUGAAUGGACCCUUGAAUCUAAAAGGGGACCCGAAAUUCCCCCCAUAUCAACCCUAAUAGUCCCCUAUAUAUAUUUUCUUCUUACUCACAUGAGGGGGGAUUUUUUGGAGUUUGAAAAGUUUAUGUUGAAGAAAAUGUUGAGAGAAGCUUGGAAAAACAGAGGGGAAGAAAGUUUCAAAAAAUAAAUAAAUAUAAAUACAAGAAUACAUACAAGGAAAAAUCAGUAGUUAUACUCAAGCUAGAAUCGAUAAAAGAUUUUCUUUUGUGCUUGCCAUUGGAAAAACUUGUCGGAAUCUCGUCGUGGUAGUGAAGUCGCCGUCCCUCUGCUCGCUCUGUCUCGGUUCACUGCCCUCAUAAAGUUUUGUUCUUUUCUAUGUAUGAACCGGCUCCUCCCGAGUCUAUUUUGGACUCCACCCCUACAUAUCCGAGUUGAUUUCCCAUCGAGUCAACCCCCUUUCGAGCUAAAGAAUUGACGAACAGGUCCCGAGAAUUGAAAGAAGCAACAGAUCGAGAAAAUCGAAAAUUUGGGCCAAGGGCCCAUUCUUAAUUCAAAAAAUUGUAUUUUUGGGCCUAAGCCCACUUAUUAGCUAUUUUAUGUUAGCUUAGGAUAGGUACAGGUGAUUCAAAUGAGCCAAAAGCUCAAAACGAAAAAGGGCCCAAAUACUGGCCCAGGCGGACAGAAACCAGAUUUGGGCCCAACUCUCUAUCCCUCUCUACUUUACCGUGUUCAUUUUACUUGUUAGUAUUUGCCGCUAAUUUUAAGGUUGAACAAUUCGAAUCCCCGAAAGAUACCCAUUUCGAAUUAAUUACUUAACUAAAUUACUCAUCUUUCACUUGACUUAAAAAAUAAAUAAAUGAUAAAUAAAUAAAUUUAUGAAAUGCUUCACUUAGAUAAUAUUUCAUUAUUUUUCUAUUAAAAUGGUUUCAACUAUAAAGUAGUUCACUUUUGCAAUUCAAGAUAAGUUAAAAUAUUUUAGCCAAAUAAUUAAUUGUCGGAUAACCGCGUAUUAGCGGACAUUCUGGGGUGCUUUUAAAAAACCUUCCUAGAAUGUUAAUAAGAACCUCGAACCCUUUUUAAGUUUUCAAUAGAUUUACUGUUUUAGUCUUUUGAAAACAACAGUUUUCUUGAUUUUUCUUAAAAAUUAAGUGGCGACUCUUAAACCAGUCCAAAUAAUAUUUUAAAUAAAACAAAUAUUACACAUCAUCUGUCUCAAUCACAACCAUAUCACGACCACAUCAUAGUAUUACACAUCAUCUGUCUCAACAUCAAUGUAUGUAUCAAUCAUAGCCUACUCAUGCUCUUCUAUCCCCUCAAUAUCAGUUAUCACAUGACUUAUUCAACAAAUUCAAGUCACAUAUAACACAUUUAGCUCGUUUUAUUUCCCCAUCUUUCAUUUACAACAAUUUCAAUCAACAAAUAAAACUCAUCCUCAAUCCCCAUUACUCCCCAACACAAUUAGGAAAGUAGUCAUGCGUAGUCUAAGAGUUUUACAAAGUUUGGAAGCCACUUGCCUUAAAACGAACUCCAAAAGUUACUUGACUUGAGCCCUUUCCUUUCCGAGUAUAAUCCGGAUCACGAUAAUCUAUUCAAACAAUUAUUCACAAUCACAAUUCGAGUCCAAUAUAAAUGGAAUCCCACAAUCAAUACGAAUCUAACAACACCAAUAUCGUGAAAUUUGGAGAACAAGGGUAAAAUGGUCAAAAAUCUCGUUCCGGAAAAUAUUCUCGAAAUCUGGAAAUUUUUAGUGAAAAAUGUUCCCCAAGAAAUUUAGAAUCCAAUAGUGAAAACCGUUUCGAAAAAGGAGUUGAAAUUAAUUCACAAACUCAAUUUGAAAGAAAAUCCACGUUCUUGAAGAAGCCUAAAAUAUUCAGAUCCGAAACUCCAACCCGAAAAUGAAAUAUCUCUUAAAAAACAUCUUACUCAUGCUUAGAUAAGUUCAAAUAUGAAAUUUCAUCAAAAAACGGAGUUAAGAUCGACCUUGAAAUUCUCAAUUUAUCAAACUUUAACUUUACCGGAAAGUCCAAAUUGUACGCGUUUAAUAUGAUGAAAAUAAUCGAUGAAUCAAUAAUUUUUAUGUUAAAAUCAGUUUUACCCAUAACAUAAGGAUCGUAAAUAUAUCUUUUUUAUCAAAAAGGGAGUCCAAAUCGAUAAAACCCCAAUUUUUCCCAAGAGAUUUACGGAUAGGAAAAAAAACCAGAUAAAGAAAUUAUGAGAAAAUGUCGAAUUGAAGAUUGAAUACUAACUCUCAUAUUAAUUCAAGAAGAAACCCGUAAGAAUCAUUCCAUUCCGAUCUCUAGAACUCCAGAUAUGCUCAAAAUACCAAAUGAACACAGUCUGAGAUUUUUAUAACAGUACAUGGCUGUUAUGCACCAGAAAAACAGCAGUUAAUCUUUCACUAAAAAGGCCGUAAUUUCCUCAUACGAUAGUGAAAUGACCCGAUUCUUUUUUAUAAAUGUCUUAAAUAAUGAUACGGACCUGCUCGUUCAAUCGGAGCUCAAUUUCAUGCUCGUUUGCCCAGUCAAAUAUCAUUUCUACUCGGUAAACAAUUAUUUCUUAUUUGCGAUAAAAAUCCAAUCUCGGGUUAGCGAAAAUGCACCAAAAUUUGCAGAUAAGUCCUAUAAUUCAUGAUCAAAAUUUCAGAACCUUCAGAAAUUUUUUUCGACCUUUAAAACUAAUAAUGAACCCUUUAGUUGCCACAAUUUGCUGAAAUAGUGUCAAAGCAUCCAAGAAGCUUAAAAGCUCACCCAAAACUCAUUUGGCACUUCCCGAACACAAACCAAAUAUGCUACUAGCUUGAAAAUGACAUUUCGGACUCAAUGAAAUCGUCGGAAUUUGAAUUCGAGGUCUCCUUGACCCGGUAUCCGAUAAGGCGUCAAGAAACUAACUUUAGGCUCAAAAACUCGAAACGCACUCGGGGCCUCUAAAAAUUCAACCAAGACUCAUUCUAGACUUAGAAUCACCCCCUGAAUCCAACGGUGCCCUCGGAAUUCCAUUUCGAGCACCGGAACCUCGUUUGUUGACCAAAGUCAACUCUUGAUCAAAAUUUCACAAUUUUAGCAACUUAGGACCUCAAAUCUUCGUUUUAACUCCAAAUUCGACUCAGUAAAUUCUCAUAGACCCAUUUCAACAUUCUAAAAUUGCUGGAAUCGACGGAAAUCCGAUUCGAGUCUCGAAACUCCAAAUGACUCGAAAUAGCACUUUUAACCAAACUUUAACUCUUAAAAACUCAACUUUCCAAAAACUCAACUUUUCAUCAAUUUUCCUUCAAACCAACUUCAAAAAUACAACAAUUAGGACUCGGGGCAACUAUCGGGAGGGGUAAAACGGUCAUUUUAUGAAAAUUUCCAAAAAUGACUUUUAGGGUCAUUACAAGGCUAACCUUAGACAAAAUCUUGGCUAAGUGGGGUGUUGGUCAUAUGAGGAUGAGUGGGGUGUAAUGUCUAGGCGGCAUGUGUUGAAGCAGUAAUUUUUCCAUUUUCGUUACUCAGGUAUGACAAAAUUCAUAAAGGUAGCACAAGUGAAGAUGAAACUGGAUCACGAUUAGGAAAUGCAGCUACCAAGUAUGUUGUAAUUGAAGAAAUGGAAGAUCAAGACCAUGGUCCUUGAGGUUUUACAUAUGACAUUCUAACAAUGUUGCGCUCUGAUGGCGUUUUGUAUUUGCAACGGAAGGAAAUGGACAAAAAAAUGCGUAGAUUUUCUAGCAAAUGAAGUUCAAGUCGUAUACAUGAAGAAGAUUUGUUAAUCAAGGAAGAUGAGGAAGCUGAGUUUUUUCACCUAGUAAACUUUAAGACAUGUGGCUUAUAGAAGGGAAAUUUAUUACUCCCUAUGUGCUAAAAAAGUAAUGAUAUACAUUUUUAUAGUUAGUAAAAAUUUAACUUUUAAACUUCUCAUUUUACCCCUAAAGUUAGGGGUGAAAGUUUGGUAUUCAGUUCAAGAUUUCCAAAUUUUGAGUUCGAUAGUUAAAAAUAGAUUCAAUUCAGUAUGGUAUUCAGUAAUACCGUAUUAAAGUUGUAGGAUUUGGAAAAGAAUGAUCACAAAUCUUUCUACUUUUUGUUUGUUAAAAUCAUGUCCUUUUCUGACUAAGUUAAAGAAAAAGAGAAAUUGGUCUCUUCUUUUGUUUAGAUGAUAAUGUUAGUGGAAUGUGAGACAAAAUUAUAUGAAUUAAAGUUUGAUUUCGAUAUGUAAUCCGAUUGAUUUGAUGUUAUUUUUAUUCUUUAUUUGAUUUCAAGUAUGCAUAAAAACAAUGUAACGUAUAUUUUACAUCCACACAAAUAUCUAUACAUAUUUUUAGUUUAAGAUUACAAAAAUUUUAAAAGUCGUCUAUACUUUCAUAAAAUUAAUAUCCCAUGAAACUAAGAUACACAAACUAAAACUAGCGGAGUAACUUAGUACUAAUUCGAUUUGCUUCAUACAUUGUUUUAGUACUAGACAUAUAAGCUCGUAGCUAACACAGACUCAAUAACAUACAUAGAAUUUGGAAAGACAAAUAAUUAUUAACACGAUUAUUAUUAAUUUACGAGACUUUUACGAUAAUUUUUUUCUAUUCAAAUUUAUGUGAUACAAAUUAAUUUUCGUGUGUAUUAUCCCAUGAAUUUGGCGCCUCGGAGCACCCAAAAACAUUUUUUGAAAAAUCUUUAUGAGGACCUCUGUAAUGAGUUGGGAACCAUCGCUUAUACUCACACUAUUUUUCUUAACGCUUAUUUCCGGAUUUACUGACCCUUUUUUAGGAAUUACGUAAAAAAAUUCAAUUUUUGGGUGUAUUAGCCUAUGGAUCUGGCGCAUUAGAGCACCCAAUUUUUUUUUCUGAAAAAAACUUUAUGAGUAAUUAUGUAAUGAGUUAGAGAUCACCACGUAUACUCACACCAAUUUUAACGACUAUUUCCGCAUUUAUAGAUUUUUUUUUUAGAAAUUACACAAAAUUCUUGAUUGUUCGUGUGUAUUAGCCCAUGAAUCUGGCGACUCAGAGCACCCAAAAUUAUUUUCUAAAAAACUUUAUGAGAACCUCUGUAGUGAGUAAGGGAACCACCAUAUAUACCCACACCAUUUUUAAUAGCUAUUUUCGCAUUUAUAGGCCAUUUUUUUAUGAAUUAUGCAAAUUCCUUGAUUUUUCGUGUGUAUUAGCCCUUGAAUCUAGCGCCUCAGAGCACCCGAAUUUUUUUUAUGAAAAAACAUUAUGAGGACUUCCGUAAUGAGUUAGGGAACCACCAUAUAUACUCAUGCAAUUUUUUAAUGCCUAUUUCUGCACUUACAGACCUUUUUUUUAGGAAUUAUGCAAAUUACUCAAUUUUUAAUGUGUAUUAACCCAUGAAUAUAUUGGUGAUAUGGCUUUCAGACGAAUUUUUUGUAAAACUCUUUAUGGAACCCUUCAAAGGGAGUUGGGGGAGCAGUACGUACAAUUUUACCAUUUUUAGAGUGAUUUAUGGGCAUAAGGAGUCAAUUUACAUUAGUUAGGCGAUUUUCUCAAUUUUUCAUGUGUAUUAUGUAACAUCCGGCAAUUUGAAAUAGCUAAGAAGAGGCUUAGAAUUUGAAAAUUUUCAAUUUUUGGAAAGGAUUUGAAAAUCUAGAAAAUUUGGCUAAGUAUGGAAAUCAGUGAUUUUUGGCCAACUUUGAGCAGUCAUAACUUCUAACUCAGGAUGAGUUAGGAGUAGUUCCAGUUAUGGUUGUGAAUCUUGUGGAAUGAUCUUUCCAACGCCACCGAGUUUGCUCAAUUCCGAGUUCGUAUGAGCGAGUUAUGGCCUUUGAAAGUUGGGCAGUUGACAAGGAAAUCCGUCCGGGAAUCAUUAAGGGCAUUUUGGUCUUUUCCCUAGCUAUUUCUUUUGAGGAUGUAUUGUUGUAUAGGGCUGAUCUUUGGAUCAUUUUGUUCCAUUUUUAAGAGAGUGAAGGCUAGGGCUUGAGAGUGAAGAAGAGAAGAAGANNNNNNNNNNNNNNNNNNNNNNNNNNNNNNNNNNNNNNNNNNNNNNNNNNNNNNNNNNNNNNNNNNNNNNNNNNNNNNNNNNNNNNNNNNNNNNNNNNNNNNNNNNNNNNNNNNNNNNNNNNNNNNNNNNNNNNNNNNNNNNNNNNNNNNNNNNNNNNNNNNNNNNNNNNNNNNNNNNNNNNNNNNNNNNNNNNNNNNNNNNNNNNNNNNNNNNNNNNNNNNNNNNNNNNNNNNNNNNNNNNNNNNNNNNNNNNNNNNNNNNNNNNNNNNNNNNNNNNNNNNNNNNNNNNNNNNNNNNNNNNNNNNNNNNNNNNNNNNNNNNNNNNNNNNNNNNNNNNNNNNNNNNNNNNNNNNNNNNNNNNNNNNNNNNNNNNNNNNNNNNNNNNNNNNNNNNUUGCCUACUGAUCUACGGUCAUGACUUACGGACCGUGAAUGGACCUACGGUCUGUAGAUCACUUCCGUCAAGGCCAUGUUUCUGCAUUUCUUAUUGUACCUAUGUUUCCAAGUUGUCUCCAACACUUCAAGUUGCAUCUAAAUGUUUAGAACUCAUUCAUAACAGGUGAUUAUAUCCCUUGAAUCCAUAAUUCAAUUCAAGGCGAGUUAGAAUCGAGUUAAAGAGAAGUUAGAGUCAAGUCAAGCAAGGUUAAGAAGUUAGUUCAAGCAAGUUUUCAAAGUUGUUCGAGAGUCUUUAAUGAACGUUUUUACUUCAUUCUAAGGCUCAAGUUGCAGGUCAAGUAAAGAGUUUAAAGUUGAGUUCAUUUCUCAAAGUUAUUAGGGAACUAUGUAUUCCCAAAGCAGUUUUUAAGGAAAUGUUUUUACAUUUAAACAAGGUUGGAAACUGAGAUUUCCAAAGGGGCCUUCGGGCCAGUUUUUCAGAAAAGAGUUAUCAUUUCCUAAAUGAAGCAAGGUUGGAAACUGAGAUUUCCAAAAGAGCCUUCAGGCAAGUUUUUGAGUAAUUAUCUCAUAUCAGCAGGAAGAAAUAUGUUUUAAAAACAUAAGAGCUAGUACAUUUUUGGGAGUAGUAUCGAGCACCGAAAAUCGUUUCAAAAGAUUUUAGUUUUACUUAAAUAUUUUAUUAAGUUAAUUAGUAGUUUAUAUUUUGAAUCAUUAGUUUAUUAAGUUAAUUAUUUUAUUUCAUUAAGAUUAAGAAGCUCCUUAAUUAAUUUAUGAAAAUUCAUCUUGUUUAAGUAUUGAUCAAAUCCACCGACUAAAUGCUAAUCGAAAUUCAAUUGAUUAAUAUGGCAAUUUUAGUCAAUUUCUUCAACCCUUUGCAAGACCCAAUUAUCUUAAACCCUUUUAGCCAAACUUUUGACCCAAUAUUAGAAGCCCACCCUUUUCAUUCUUCUGACCCAAGCCCAAAACCCACUUCUUCUUUUCUCAAAAGAACCCAACGUGAACAACAGCAUACCAAAUUGACCCGACCCCCAACACAGCUGCUCGUUCUUCUUCAACAAUACACGUCAAAUUCCAACGAUUUAAUUCACGGAGUCAAGCGGAGGCAGACGGAAAAGCAGUAAAGCAGGCAGUGCUCUGCAUUUUUCUUGUCUUCUUCCUCAAUGUCCCUUUCCAAUUUGUACCUGCAGCAGCAAAAGCACCUGCGAUUUUGUCCUUCCAGCCGCGUCUCAGUCCUUGGGGAUGUGGGAUCGAUCCACGUCGCGCCUAAGGAUGAGUUGAAUUGAUCAAGUCCGCCCGUCUACCCUUUCCCCUUUCGGAAUGGGUCAAAUUUUGGAGAAAAAGGUUGUCUCCCUGAAAGGGGUGAACGAUUUUGAAUUCAAAUUGGAGUUGGGCUUUGUCUAUUCGAAUUUUUUUGAUCUGUUUCCCUCAUUUUUCUGAACCCUAAUUUCCCCCACUAUAUAAACCCCAUUUUUAUUCACUAUCGGGUUUCUCUUUUUUUAGAGGAAUUUUUGGGGCAAAAACACGAAGAGUAAGUUAAGAAAAUAGCUAAAAUACAUACAUGUAUAUACAGAAACACAGUCAAGGCCAAGAGGAUUGAGUUUCGAUAGGAGUAUCGCGUUACUACUUCGUUUUGCAUCGGUUUUCUCAAGCUUCACUCGAGUCUGAGGUUCUGCCCGGAAUUCUCGUCCGUCGUUCGUGUUCGAGUCUCGUGGUGAAGAUCGUUUCCUUGCUCGUUUGUAUCCCAGUUGCUGCUCAUCAAAAGGUAUACAACUCUCAAUUCUCGCAUUUGUUUAGAUUCCAAUAGAUGUUUGAGAUCUGAGUUGUAUUAUGUAUUGGUGUGAUUCGAUUGUUUGUGUAUAAAUGAUAAAAGGUUAAUUCUUUGUUGGUGGUGGUUCUCGUUUUGUUUUAUUCUUGACUCUCAUAGCUUUUCAAAACACUCCUUUCACAGUUUAUUCUCUCAAAAUGUAAGACAUUUAAGUAUUGGGGUUUUAAGAAUAUUAAGAGCGACUGGAAAUUUUGAAUCUCUUGAAAUAGCGAGAAUUUGACUUCGGUACUUCGUGUGGAGUUUGGUAUCUCCUUCACGUCUUGUUUGAUUCCGAGUGGUAUGAAAUGAGCACUUUGUUGAUCUCUAUGGCUUCAUCCUUACGUUAUCCUUUAUUUCGAUUUCCGUACCUUUGUUCGAAAGUCUGUUUGGUUUAAAUUUCUAACCGAUCAUCAUGUUAUUGAUUUCACUGUCUUGGUUAAAUGUAUAAAUCCGAUUUAUAGCUUUUUUUUUAGCCUAGUUUUCGUAUUGUUUUGAAUCAUAUGAUUGUCUUGUUGUAAUUAGUAUGCCUAAUACGUCUUCAAGCAUGAGAUGCUCUCUUUCUAGUUUGUCAUUGUUAGUGUAGUUGCGUUUUCAUUCUGAUGGCUUGGCUUCCUCUGUUUAUUGGAUCCCUUUGUUGCCUUACUGCUUUAGCGAUAUGUUAGACCCGCUUCCGUGCUUUCGUUUUACUUAUUUUUUUUGAUGCAAAAUUUGCAGUUGAGUUUUAAAAUGUAAGAUUUCCGCUAAUGAUUCAGAUUUUCAUGACUAUCUGUGUUGCAUUGAAUCCAAUGAUACCAUUCCCAACUAAAUAACAAAAAUGAAUAUGUUUGUAUGUUUGGUAUUUAUUAUUAUUAUUAUUAUUAUUAUUAUUAUUAUUAUUAUUAUUAUUAUUAUUAUUAUUAUUAUUAUUAUUAUUAUUAUUAUUAUUAUUAUUAUUAUUAUUAUUAUUAUUAUUAUUAUUAUUAUUAUUAUUAUUAUUAUUAUUAUUAUUAUUAUUAUUAUUAUUAUUAUUAUUAUUAUUAUUAUUAUUAUUAUUAUUAUUAUUAUUAUUAUUAUUAUUAUUAUUAUUAUUAUUAUUAUUAUUAUUAUUUUUACUUAAAAUUGGUCUAAGUGUUUUUUUUUAUUCAAAAUCGGGGGGGCAUUUGUUAAUUAUGGUUUAUCCAUUUUUGCUUAAAAAUAAUAAUAAAAAAAUAUGUAUGGAAUUCUCAAGCGGUAUAUUAAAAGGCUUAAGUCGGUAGCAUCUCAUCUCCUCAUUUGAUCUUACGUCAUUAUUAUUAUUCUUGGUUUCAUGUGAUAUGUCUUUAGAUAAUAUUUAGGAGUUACUUGUUAUGCAUUAAUUUUUAUUUUUAUUUUUAUCUCAUUUGUUUUUACUUGUCAUAUCAUUCUAUCUAGUUUAUACAUAUAAAUGAUAAUUAUAGGAAUCCUUUGUUGACUCCCUAUUAUUUGAUUUUCCUUAUAGAAUAGCUACAAUAUUGGUAAUUAAGUUAUGUUAGUUUGAUCACUGUAGUGUUAAACUUGCUAAGUCAUUUAUCUCUUAGUCUUAUUGGUUUAAAAUAUAGUAUUAAUCUCAUUUGAUAACAGUUUCUAUGUGUACUCCAGAGUUCUGCCUUAAGUGCUUAACAUUUGUUCGCUGCCUGCAUUCUCAACAAUUCAUUUAAUCAAUGUCAAUUUAAAGGUAUAUGCAUGAAAAUGGAGAGUGGACCGAGGUCAAACUAGAAUUUGUUCACGAUUCGCAUAUCACAUUUCUUUGUUUAUAUCCUAGUAGUAUUUGUGAAUGUGUAUCAGAAUAACUUUAUCCAUUUUUCUCAUUGUAGCUAGCGACGAGUAGUGAUUAUUAGAUUAGUCCUUAAUAUCUUAUUAUGAUUUUGUCGUAUUGAGUUGUUAGUCGCCUUAAUGUUGUUCAUUUUUUAGAAAAUGUGUUAGAAUUUUCUCGUCCCAUGCUAAUAUGAUUUUAUUUGUCUUUGUAUGUGAAAUCCGCCCGAGUUCGCCAUGAACUCUUAUCUUCCCUAUUGCAUUUCGGGAGGGCCGCGAAGGCUCAAGUCUUUUUUUUUUACAUAUCCGAGUCAGCCAGAUCUUAAAAUCGACGAACAGGUCUCGAAAUUGAAAGAAAAGCGGACCAAAUCGGGAGUUGAAAAAGAUUGGGCCAAAGCCUACCUUUAUUUAUUCGGAAUUGUAUUUUGUUAUUAUUGGGCCUAAGUCCUUGCCAUUUUACUUACUAUUACUUGUUAGUUCCUAGGACAGGUGGAGAAAUUGGGCUUAAGGUCCAAAAGAAAGAUAUUUAUUUCAUGUCAGACUAGGACAGGUGCAGGUGACUCAAAUGGGCCGAAAAGCCCAAAACGAAAGUGGGCCCCAAAAUAUUGGCCCAGGCGGACAGAAAAACCAAUUUGGGCCCGAAUCUCCCUCUCUCCUUAUUAUAUAUUUCGUGUUAAUUUUAUUGUUAGUACAUGCUUAUUUGCUAAUUAAUUUUAAGGUUCUUAACUCAUAAUUCCCCAAAGGACACCCAUUUUAAGUUAGCUAACUUAUAGUACUUUAUCUUAAAAUAACUAAGUAUACUUGUCUUUUUUCUAAAUUAAUUUCUAAAAAAAUUAGAAGCUUUUCUCUACUUGGACAUUUUAGAUAAUAUAUUCCCUUUUCCUCUUUAAAUGAUUUUAAGUUAUAAAAUUCGUUCAUUCGGUAACUAGUCAAGCAUGCCCAUUGUUAGCCAAAUAUUUUAAUUGUUGGAUAACCGCAAGUUAGCGGACAUUUUGGGUGUUUUCAAACCCUUCCCGAAAUGUUAAUAAGAACCCCGAACCCCCUUAAUAGUUUUCAAUAGAUUUACUGUUUUGAUCUAUUUGAAAAUGAAUAGUUUUCUUGAUUUUUCUUAAAAAUUAAGUGGCGACUCUUAAACCAGUCAAAAUACAUUUUUAAAUAAAACAGUUAGAGAUUCAUAUGCCAGUAGAAAAUGUGGAGAACUUUUCUAUUUUAUUUCGUAAAAUGUUGGCCUAAUAUGAAUUGAGAUGGGGAACAUGACCAAUGAGGACUGAGACGUAGUAGUUAUUGUUGUUGUUGUAUAUUGAAGCUUCAGAAAUAUUUUUUUCAUGUUCAUACAUUUACUUCAGGCCGAUGCUUUCUAGGAGGUUUGUAGGACUAUAUGAUAGAGUUUCUUAUGCCAGUAGGAAAUAUAGAGAACUUCUAGUACUUUUCAUGAUUAUGUUUAUUUCGUAAAGUGUUGUCCUGAGGUGAAUUUAAGUGGGGAACUUGGUCACAUAUAGACGAUCCCAGCUUAUUUUAGACUGAGACGUAAUUGUUGUUGUUUAUUGAAGCUUAAAGGAUGUGUUUGCUCUUCUCAUGUGUUGACAUGGGGAAUAGGUACAAUAAAAGUCUUCUUGGGGAUAAACUAGGGAAGUUCCCUGUGCCUUUACUGAUAAACACUGUGCACUUUGCGAUGCAAGCUGUUUUGUCCAAGGCCAUUACCGGGUUUUGGCAUCAACGAUUUCAACCUACAGUGAUGAUGUCUUGGAGAGACUAUUCUUUGAAAGGUAACGUUAAGACUAAUAAUUCCCUUUUUUCUUUGGUUUCGAUUGAGUAGAAAACUAAAAGUAUUUGAAAGGCAUAUGAUAUUAUAGAGCAGGAAAUAUGUGUAUAAUGUGUUUAUGCACUUGUCCAGUGGAUUUGUUUACGAAACAUAGGAAGAUGAGAGUAGGAUUAUUAACGAGCUUGAAUGUAUGUGCAUCUUAUGAGUUGACAGCUUCAAUUAGCUAUAGUUUGUGACUUAGUUAAGCCCACAUGUUACACUUAUUGGCUUAUUACUGAUAUAUCGACAAUGGUUUCAAAUGAACUUUUAUGUACACAAAUAGAGGCAGUUCCUGUUACGUACGAGAAUCUCAAUUUUUAUCCAAGUUAGUUCUUCAUGAGUUCAAGACAUAUAAUCUCUUAUGUCUUUCAUUUCUAACCUUUAUGUAGGAAUCUUUUUCCACGACUAAUACUAUAGACGGCCUUUGCCUUUCACAGUUGUACCGACAGCUCUUACAACAGCAAUGGAUGUGAACCUCAGCAAUGCAUCCCUUGUUUUCAUCUCAGUCACAUUUGCCACUAUGGUGUGCAUCAUACAGUUUGUGUCAAUACUGAUAGACUGCAAAUUUUUCUUCAAAAAUUGAGCUCUGAGAAAGCAUGUUUGUUAAACUCACGCCCUUAAUAUUCGUCGAGGGCUCUAAUAUUUGCAUUUAUGUACCUUGAAAUUUAGCAGUCACAACUCUCUGCCACUAAAGUAAGUGUGAUUGUCGAAGCCUUCAAGGGCCACUCAAAUAAUCGUCUAAUAUCAAUAAGAAUAACAGAUUUCUUACUUUGUUUUCUCCUUCCUUAUUCUGAUACGAACUCUCUGCCCAUCUUUCUCCUAUUCUUCGCAUUUGCUUUCAGGUACUACUUUUAACCACUGAUCUCUUAUGUUUAAUUGUGAUUUUUUAUGGGGGGUAGCGGGCCAGAAGCAUCGAAUUUCUACUUGAUCCUCUGUUAUAGAUGUACAUCCAACAAUAUUAUUCAUAAAUGCAACUUUUUUUUCCAUAUUGAGGACUUAAUAGAAUGUGAUUGUUAAUUCGUUAUGGACUAAAAACCUGAAAGCGUCUAUGAAAUAACUAUCUUUGAUGAAUACGAUACAUUUGACGGGGCUCAUAUCUAAGCUGAAUACAUGGCCUCAAUUAUUUGUGUAAGGUUGGAGUCUCCAAAUGUAAAGCUGCUGGGGAUCAUCUUGGUCAUUUCUUGUAUUAUUUAUUCUCAUAUAUGAAGAAGUAUUCAUAAUUUUCAUCUUCAUCUGUCAUUCAUAAAUCAUAUCUGUAACCUUCACUUGUACACCAGAUAAAACGUUUACUUUAUCGUACAAUAUUUUCUCGUUUCACAACUAUCAUUGACAAUUUGGAUAAACUUAGGUAAUCUUCUUAAUGAGUGUUUUCGUAAGCUUUAUCGCCUUGUUGAUAACUGUGUCAUUUGUUAAUUUACAUCCGUUUGGUAGAUAAGUCUGACUCCAUUUUCUGAUAAUGCAGUUGCAAAGGAGACAGAAUUUGAGUUUUGGGAUUUGUCUUUGUUAUGCUUGCUGCAGUUAUGUCUGGAUUUCGCUGGACUAUGACUCAGAUUCUUCUGCAGGUUGGAUUUUGUGACAUUCGUUGCAUUGUUAUAAUUUAUUUCUCGUUCCGUUGUUUUGUCAAUAGUAUGUUUGCUUACUUUGUGUAUUUUUCUGUUUGUUUUCCCAUAUCCAACUGGUUGUGCUGAACAUAAAACUGGCAUAAAGAAAGAAGCCUAUGGUAAUGACUAUGAACAACUCUUAGCAAAUUUUAAAUAUUCUGGAAAUGUUAUUAUCACCAUCAUUAUUAUUAGCAGUCGUAGCAGCAGCGACUGCACCACUACUUAGACUACAUCAAAUCUGAUCUUGUUUUAAAAGGGCAGUUCGAUGCACGAAGCAUCUCACAUUCACGCAGGGUCCAAGGUAGGGCCACACCUCAAGAGAGCAUGAUGUAGGCAGCCUACCCUGAUACAAAUCAGCGGCUAAUUCCAUAGCUCAAACCCUGCUUUGUCUUAGUCCUAGUUUUGACCAAAUUAAUAUGUUGAUUUGUUAUUUGUUUUAUAGUUUGUGAAUAAAUUGUGUAAUGAAAUGCAUGCUUUGGUUAUUGCAGGUUUAAAAAAUCCACUCACACUAAUGAGCUAUGUUACUCCGGUAAUGACUCUUUCAACUGCUGUGUUGUCCCUUAUUUUUGAUCCGUGGCACGAAUUCAGACACACCAAUUACUUUGAUACGUCAUGGCAUAUAGCUAGAAGUUGUUUGUUGAUGCUUUUUGGCGGAACUUUGGCUUUCUUUAUGGUAUGUAUGUGUCCAAGCACUGGUAUCAGUUCAAUUUGUGGAUUUUCCAUCUCAUAGUGAAAAUGAAGCCUUCUAAUAGGCUUAGUUCGUUUAGAAAUGAUCUGAGUGUUCAACUGACACAGUGGAGACGAGUUGAUGUGUCUGAAUGUGCGUUCUCAAAGUUGGAGUGUUUAAACUGUUCCUAGCAGUUUAGUCGUCCUAAAUCAAAACGACUGUAUGUUUACUUAAGCUAUAGUAGUUCAAUCAAAUUGUUGAUAUCGAGCCCGUUUUAGUCAAAAAUGUGACUUUGGCAUGGUUUAAUGGCAUGUGUUGAAGUCGUAAUUUUUCCAUUUUCGCUACUCAUGUAUGAAAAAAUUCAUAAAGGUAGCACAAGUGAAGAUGAAACUGGAUCACCAUUAGGAAAUGCAGCUACCAAGUAUGUUAUACUUGAAGAAAUGGAAGAUCAAGACCAUGGUCCUUGAAGUAUUACAUAUGACAUUUCAACUACGCUGCACUCUGAUGGCGUUUUGUAUUUGCAACGGAAGGAAGGGGACGAAAAAAUGCAUAGAUUUUCUACCAAAUGAAGGUCAAUCGUAUACAUGAGGAAUAUUUCUUAAUCAAGGAAGUUGAGUUUUUUCACCUAGUAGACUAUAAGACAUGUUGCUUAUAGAAGAUAUUACGACUUGAAAAAGAAACUUACAAAAAUGUUACUAGUUAAGAACUAACUACUUAAAUACACUACAUUACAAUAUUCGGAAUUUUACCAUUUAGUGGCGACUUCCAAAAGUCGUUAAAUAACAUUUGAUUAUGGAUUCACAUGUAUCUAGGAUAUACAUUGAUUCUCUCGCUCGCAUCUCUCAUCUCUUGCUCCCCUUUCUUCCUUUCUCGCUCCCCUCUCUUCCUAUGUUAGGAAACCUUUAUGGAAUCCUCCGUUGGGAGUUGGGGGAGCAUUACGUACAAUCUCACAUUUUUUAGAGUGAACUUUGGGCAUUUAAAGACCAAGAUUUUCUUAAUUUUGUGUGUGUGUUAUUCCAUGAAUAAUUUGGUGAUAUGACUUCCGAACGAUUUUUUUUGUGAACCUUUAUGGUACCUUCCGUAGGGAGUUGGUGGAGCAUUACGUACAGUCUCACUAUUUUUAGAGUGAUAUGACGGAGAUAUAACUCCUAAUAGCCCAAAAUAUGUCUAAAAAAUGACAAGACUUCACAUAUUUCUCUCACAACUCUCUACAGAGGGUUCCGUAAUGACUUUGCACAAAAAUCAACCGUCAGUCACAUCACCAAAAUAUUCAUGAAUUAACUGUGUCCACACAAACCCAAUAGCAUAGAUGGAAUUUGGAAAGAUAAUUAUGUUGGGAUAUUUUCUUCCUGUGGUGCUCGCUGCAGCGUACAAUGAUGAGCUGUAUAUGUCUCCAUCUUUUUUCAUUCAUUUUUUUAAAUUUAAAAUGAUCGUUCCAUAGGUGUGAUAAGAUAUGAUAUAUUUUAAUUACACUUAAAGAUUAUGUCAUAAAUUGAGAUAUUUUAUGAGAUAAUUAAUUAUAUUACUAUGUAAAUGAAUAAUUUAUAUUUCAUCAUUAUAAAAUGGAAAAAUUCUUUUGGCCAGAAUGGUAAAAUAACAUAUUUCACACUAUGUUAUUUUAUCUUUUUGAACAUUUUUACCAUUUUAACUUUAAUACCAUUUAAUUAAAAAAAAUUUAAAAAAAUCAGUUUUUUUAAAAAUAAAAAGGAUAUUAUAGACUUUUGAAAAUUUCUAACCAAAUUCUGGCCAAAUUUUCCGGAUUUUGGUUGUAUGAUACUGAAUGUGAGACUGGAAUUGCUGUGCAAAUGGAUUUGGAGGAAAAGUACAUGGAUAAACUUGCAUGUGACCAAGAUAUCAUAGAUUUUGCUAAAUUUUAGGGUUUAAUUUUCAUGUUCUUUCAUUUAAUUUGUACUCCCUUCAUUUUAAUUUUCAUGUUCUUUCAUUUUCUAUGAACACGCUUUGACUAUAAUUAAGUAGCAUUUUAAGUUGUAGCAAGGAUUGUACUAAAAUAAAUAAUGUAAGAUUUUUGUUAGCAUUUUUGUUUACUUGUAGUAGCGAAUGUUCGCUACAAAAAAUCACUAUUUAGUGGCGACUUUCAAAAGUCGUUAAAUAACAUUUAGUUGUGGAUUCACAUGUAUCUAGGAUAUAUACACUGACUCUCUCGCUCGCAUCUCUCAUCUCUUGCUCCCCUUUCUUCCUCUCUCACUCCCCUCUCUUCCUAUGUUAGGAAACCUGUAUGGAAUCCUCCGUAGGGAGUUGGGGAGCAUUACGUACAAUUUCACAUUUUUUAGAGUGAACUUUAGGCAUUUAGAGACCAAUUUACAGGAAUUAUGUGAUUUUCUUAAUUUUUUGUGUGUGUUAUUCCAUGAAUAAUUUGGUGAUAUGACUUCCGAACGAUUUUUUUUGCGAACCUUUAUGGUACCCUCCUUAGGGAGUUGGUGGAACAGUACGUACAGUCUCACCAUUUUUAGAGUGAUAUGACGGAGAUAUAACUCCUAAUAGCCCAAAAUAUGUCUAAAAAAUGACAAGGCUUCACAUAUUUCUCUCACAACUCUCUACAGAGGGUUACGCAAUAGCUUUGCACAAAAAUCCACCGUCAAUCACAUCACUAAAAUAAUCAUGGGCUAACUGUGCCCACACAAACCCAAUAGCAUAGAUGGAAUUUGGAAAGAUAAUUAUGUUGGGAUAUUUUCUUCCUGUGGUGCUCGCUGCAGCGUAUAAUGAUGAGCUGUAUGUGUCUCCAUCCUUUUUUAUUCAUUUUUUUAUUUAUUUAAAAUGAUCAUUUGAUUGGUGUGAUAAGAUAUGAUAUAUUUUAAUUACACUUAAAGAUUAUGUCAUAAAUUGAGAUAUUUUAUGAGAUAAUUAAUUAUGUUAGUGAAAAACUUACAAGAUAACAAAAAAUACAAGAUUACAAUUGAAACUAAAAAUGAAGAAAUAAAUCUCUUCAGGAUGAGGCACGGAUAUCUCGCUCUCUUUAAGGAGAUUCAAGCCCACUGCAACAAAUGUUCUUGACUGAUCCAGCAGUAGUCCUCUUGACUAGCAAAGGUUUGAGUUUCAACACAUCUUUACCCUUUAGCUGGUCGAUUUGCUGAAGAUGAAUCGUCAAUUCUUUGUCUCGAUCAAGGUGUAACUUAUAUAAAAGCAACGGUCAAUUGUAAGCUUGAUGAUUUUCUUCAACAAGCAAACAAAGACGUUGAUCUAGCAUUGCCAUUUUGGCCUCAAGGAAUUAUGGAUGUGGACGAGACGAAUUUAUUCGUCAUGCCACUUCUGGUUGUGCAAGUCACAACAUUUGAAUGUUAAAGUGUUAAAGUGUGCCUUUAGUGUAUUUGUUUAUUUAGUUAUGCAUUAUUGUAAAUUAAUAAUUAUAUUAAAAAAUUAUAAACUAAUGACAUUCUGUUUUGCUAGAAACAGCAAGUACUAUCAUGUUAAUAAAACAAUGUAAUUAAUUGAAUAUAGUAUUUCGUGGGCAGGUGAUAAGUUAAAUGUAGAAAAGUUUGGUCACUUUAACAUUUUACUAUUUAUUUUAGACUGCUUUAAUAUAAUAUAUUAGGCUCUAUUAUACAUUAGAUGAGUAACAAUAAUAAUUAAAUUUCAUCUCAAUUAAGAAUGUGGUUCCACAUCUUUUUGAGAUACUUAAGAAACUCAAGGAUGCGGUUACGCACCUUGGCCAAAUUAUUUCAAUAAUUAAUUUUGUUAAUUCAAACCAAGAGAUGUAAUUUGAGAUUAUUAGAUGUGAUGAACUCGAGAGGGGAAGACGAUUAUGUCUCCAAAUGUCAAGAUCGAGAAUGCAGUUAUGCAUCCGGUUUAAGACUAAUAAAAAUUCAACAAUUAAAAAAUAAGCAAACCAUGACAUAUAUACACAAAUUAUCCAAAAACAUAUCAAGAUAAGUAUAAGUCAAUAAAAGAGACAGUGCUAGAACCACGAGAGUACUCGAGGGAUGCCUAAUACCUUCCCCUUGAUCAACAGAAUUCCUUACCUGAAUUUUUGGUUAGCAAACCAAACAAAGAGUCAUUUCCUUUUGAUUAGGGAUUAAAUAAAAGGUGACUUGGAACAUCAUAACUCAAUUCCAAGUGGCGACUCUGGAAAAAAUAAAAAAAAUAAAAAAUAAUAAUCUCUUAAUCAAUACGAACACUUAGAUUGAAAAAACCCUUUCCGCCGUGCGAAAAAAAGGGUGUGACAUCUCUAGCGACUCCGCUGGGGAUACUAACCAGAAUUCGAGCUUUGUUUUGUUGACUUUUAUUUUAUCUUAUUAUUUAUUUUUUUGGAUAAAUUGUGUGUGAUUGCCUAAUAUGAUACUUGUUGCUCUUUUAUCACUUUUUAUAUUGUUGAACUAUAAAUUGUCUUUCUUAGCGCAACCAUCUGAAUUGGCAUGAUUUAAUGGCACGUAUUGAAGACGUAAUUUUUUCAUUUUCGUUACUCAAGUAUGACAAAAUUCAUAAAAGUAGCACAAGUGAAGAUGAAACUGGAUCACCAUUAGGAAAUACAGCUACCAAGUAUGUUAUAAUUGAAGAAAUGGAAGAUCAAGACCAUGGUUCUUGAGGUUUUACAUAUGACAUUCUAACAAUGUUGCGCUCUGAUGGCGUUUUGUAUUUGCAACGGAAGGAAGGGGACGAAAAAAUGCGUAGAUUUUCUAGCAAAUGAAAGGUCAAGUUGUAUACAUGAAGAAGAUUUGUUAAUCAAGGAAGAUGAGGAAGUUGAGUUUUUUUCACCUAGUAAACUUUAAGACAUGUUGCUUAUAGAAGGGAAAUUUAUUACUCCCUAUGUGCUAAAAAAGUAAUGAUAUACAUUUUUAUACUUAGUAAAAAUUUAACUUUUAAACUUCUCGUUUUACCCCUAAAGUUAGUGGUGAAAGUUUGGUAUUCAGUUCGAGAUUUCCAAAUUUCGAGUUCAAUAGUUAAAAAUAAAUUCAAUUCAAUAUGGUAUUCAGUAAUACCGUAUUAAAGUUGUAGGAUUUGGAAAAGAAUGAUCACAAAUCUUUCUACUUUUUGUUUGUUAAAAUCAUGUCAUUUUUUCUGACUAAGUUAAAGAAAAAGAGAAAUUGGUUUCUUCUUUUGUUUAGAUGAUAAUGUUAGUGGACCUAGCUUGAAAUGUGAGACAAAAUUAUAUGAAUUGAAGUUUGAUUUCGAUAUGUAAUUCGACUGAUUUGAUGUUAUUUUUAUUCUUUAUUUGAUUUCAAGUAUGCAUAAAAAACAAAUGUAACGUAUAUUUACAUCCACACAAAUAUCUACACAUAUUUUUAGUUUAAGAUUACAAAAUUUUAAAAGUCGUCUAUACUUUCAUAAAUUAAUAUCCCAUGAAACUAAGAUACACAAACUAAAACUAGCGGAGUAACUUAGUACUAAUUCGAUUUGCUUCAUACAUUGUUUUAGUACUAGACAUAUAAGCUCGUGCUAACACAGACUCAAUAACAUACAUAGAAUUUGGAAAGACAAAUAAUUAUUAACAUGAUUAUUAUUAAUUUACGAGACUUUUACGAUAAUUUUUUUCUAUUCUAAUUUAUGUGAUACAAAUUAAUUUUCGUGUGUAUUAUUGCAUGGAUUUGGCGCCUCGGAGCACCCAAAAACAUAUUCUGAAAAAUCUUUAUAAGGACCUCUGUAAUGAGUUGGGAACCAUCACUUAUACUCACACUAUUUCUUAACGCUUAUUUAUGCAUUUACUGACCCUUUUUUAGGAAUUACGUAAAAAAAAUCAAUUUUUGGGUGUAUUAGCCUAUGAAUCUGGCGCAUUAGAGCACCCAAUUUUUUUUUCUGAAAAAACUUUAUGAGUAAUUCUAUAAUGAGUUGGAGAUCACCACGUAUACUCACAUCAUUUUUAACGACUAUUUCCACAUUUAUAGAUUCUUUUUUAGAAAUUAUGCAAAUUGCUCGAUUGUUCAUGUGUAUUAGCCCAUGAAUCUGGCGACUCGGAGCACCCAAAAUUGUUUUCUGAAAAAACUUUAUGAGAACCUCUGUAGUGAGUAAGGGAACCACCACAUAUACCCACACCAUUUUUAACAGCUAUUUUCGCAUUUACAGGCCAUUUUUUUAUGAAUUAUGCAAAUUCCUUGAUUUUUCGUGUGUAUUAGCCCUUGAAUCUAGCGCCUCAGAGCACCCGAAAAAAAUUUCUGAAAAAACUUUAUGAGGACUUUCGUAAUGAGUUAGGGAGCCACCACAUAUACUCAUGCAAUUUUUUUAAUGCCUGUUUUUGCACUUACAAGCCUUUUUUAGGAAUUAUGCAAAUUACUCGAUUUUUCGUGUGUAUUAACCCUGAAUAUAUUGGUGACAUGGCUUUCAGACGAAAUUUUUGCAAAACUCUUUACGGAACCCUUCAAAGGGAGUUGGGGGAGCAGUACGUACAAUUUUACCAUUUUUAGAGUGAUUUAUGGGCAUUAAGGAGUCAAUUUACAUUAUUUAGGCGAUUUUCUCAAUUUUUCAUGUGUGUUAGCCGAUUAAUAUUUUGGUGAUAUGACUUAUAGAUGAAUAUAUUACGAAACCUUUAUGGAAUUCUCUGUAGGGAGUUGGGGAAGCAUUGUGUACAGUCUCACCAUGUUUAGAGUGAACUUUUGGCAUUUAGAGGCCAAUUUAUAGUAAUUAUGUGAUUUUCUCUAUUUUUUGUGUGUGUAAUCCCAUGAAUAAUUUGGUGAUAUGAUUCUGAACGAAUUUUUUUCGUACCUUUAUGGUACCCUCCGUAGGGAGUUGGUGGGGCAGUACGUACAGUCUCACCAUUUUAGAGUGAUAUGGCGGAGAAAUAACUCCUAAUAACCCAAAAUAUAUCUGAAAAAUGGCGAGGAGACGUAUUGCUCUCCCAACUACCUACAGAGAGUUACGUAAUAAAUUUGCACAAAAAUCGAUCAUCAAUCACAUCACCAAAAUAUUCAUGAGAUAACUGUGCCAACACAAACCCAAUAGCAUAGAUGGAAUUUGGAAAGAUAAUUAUGUUGGGAUAUUUUCUUCCUGUGGUGCUCGCUGCAGCGUACAAUGAUGAGCUAUAUAUGUCUCCAUCUUUUUUAUUCUAUUUUUCAUUUAUUUAAAAUGAUCGUUCGGUAGGUGAUAUAAGAUAUGAUAUAUUUUAAUUAUAUUUAAGAUAAAAUUUAUUUCAUAAUUUGAGGUAUUUUAUGAGAUAAUUAAUUAUAGUACUAUGUAAAAGAAUAAUUUAUAUUUCAUCAUUAUAAAAUAUAUAAUUUCAGAACUAACUAAUACUCCUAAUUAUUUAUUCUGUAUUUUAUCUUAAUAUUGUUAUCUCUUUUUCUUUAAAUUCCAUAAGUUUUUCCUCUUCAAUUAUUAGGGAGCACGUUUAAAAGGCUUGCAAAACAUUGUUGUAAUUGGCUGGUAGAGUCGUGAGGAAACAACUAAGCAAAUGGAGAAACAAAAAUACUUUUUUCGUUCCAUUUUAAUUAACACAUUUUAUUUGAUACAAUAUUUAAAAAGGAAUGAGACAUAAGUACCUCCUAGACUAUUAUGAUCGAAAUCUCUGAGACACAUCUUAACUAAACUAAGAUCCUAUUAUCCGAACUGUUUUGUUUUUUUUUUGUAAUUUUUUACACCUUUUUGACUUACGUAGCAUCCAAACAUCUCUCACAUGCCUACAUGGAGUCAUGGAGUAUGCCACAUAAAUUAAUGGAUUAGUUCAAUUAUAUAUGCUUUUAUUUGAAGUUUAUUCUUCUACGUUCUUGAAUAAUCGAUUUCUACUAAUACAACUAAGGAUCGUUUGGUAAUUGAUUAGAACUUUACAAGUAUUAGUAUAAUGGAGAUAUUAGUUAUUAACUGUUCCACCUUCUAUCACACAUAAAAUAAAGGCAUAAUACAUAAAUAUGUCAUUUAACUUNNNNNNNNNNNNNNNNNNNNNNNNNNNNNNNNNNNNNNNNGCACAAGUAGACACUUAAACUUAUAUAAAGUUGAACAAAUAGACACACAUGUACUACAUGGCAUCCUACAUGUCAUUUUUUGUCCUACGUGUAUUGUGCCACGUAAAACUCAUGUGUCUACUUGUUCAAGUUUAUACAAGUUUAAGUGUCUACUUGUGCAUAUCCAAAGUUGAAGCGCAUAAAUGUGAAAUGAAGCCAAGUUAAAGGACAUAUUUAUGUAUUAUGCCUAAAGUAAAUGAUACACCAAUUUUUUCAUAACUUAAACAUACAUUAUUCUACAAGUUCUAAAAUUACAAAUCAAACGUUAUAUUAAGGUGUACGCCUCGUACCCCUAACUCUUCUCUCUCUCUAUACAUAUAUACACCUAUUUUUACCACAACUCUUCAUUCACAUUAAAGCUAGAAAUGGCAGAAGAAAUGAUGAACAACAAACAAAUCAUUCUAAAACAUUAUGUGGAAGGUUAUCCUAAGGAAUCUGAUAUGGAAUUUAAGAAUAGUAUCAUUAAAUUGAGUGUUCCAGAAGGUUCUAAUGUUGUUAUUUUGAAGAAUCUUUACUUGUCUUGUGACCCUUACAUGCGUAACCGUAUGAGCAAACUUGAGGGUAGCUAUAUUCAAUCCUUCACUCCUGGUUAUGUAAGUAUUUCAAUAAUUUACUACCACACAUGAUUAUUUAGUUGAUAUAUAUUAUACGAGAGUCAAAAAAAUAUAUUUAAUGUAUUUUUAUAAAUAGGUGUUUGGAUUAAUUUAUUUUAACAGUUUUUGGCUUUUAAUCUUCUUUUGAAACUUUUUGAAGGUGUUUGAUAAAAAACACCUUUUUAAGGCUGAGAAAUUACAAAAAUAAGUUAAAAGUAUAGAUAUUCUCAACUCGUGACUUUUAAGUUUUUGCUUAUAAGAUACUUAAAACAAAGUCAAUCUAAACAGCCCGUGAUCGUGGAUCUGGGCAGGGUGGUGAGUACUGGCUUAAUUUCUAUCUUGUGGAGGUAGAGAGAUUAUUUUCAAAAGACUUUCAAAAUCAAGUCCGAAUUUUGAGAGUCGAACUUGUUAAUCUUGAUCUGGAUUUGAAUAUAAAAUCUUUAAUUUUUUAUAAAUAUUCAAGAACAAUGUUAAAAGUAUUAUAAAUCAUAACAAUUGAAUAUAAAAUCUUUAAAUAGUGUAGACCUUGAUUGUUUCAAAUUUAACAUUAUGUUUUGUCUGCAGCCUAUUACAGGAAAUGGAGUGUCUAAAGUUUUGAAAUCUGGUGAUUCAAAUUUUCAAGAAGGUGACUUAGUUUGGGGAAUGACUGGAUGGGAGGAAUAUACUAGUAUUGUAACAACUACUCAAAGUAUGUUUAAAAUUGAUCAUGACAAGGAUGUGCCUCUUUCCUAUUAUACAGGAAUCCUUGGUGAGUGUUUUCGACUGGGUUAAAGUCUUACAUUAGUUGGGGUCUCUACAUAUAUGGAUUUGAAAAAAAUAAUUUUCGGGAUUGAGUUAGGCCCAGGCGUCAUAACUUUACAUGAUAUAUAUAUAUCUAUAUAUGAACCAAGUUCAUCCCUAUUUGGGAUCUUGGUCCACACGCUCCAGUUGGGCUUGCACUUGAAGGGGGGUCUAGAGUCCCACAGUGGUACUACAACAAAGCCAACUUUUAGCGGCAAUAAAUAGACACAUUAAUAAAGAGUGCUAAAGUCUUUACUGGCAUUAGUUAAGUGUCGUUAGAUCCAAUGUCGCUAAAGGCUUUAGGGGCAUAUACAAAGAGUGCUAAUUGCCACUAAAAAUACAUAUUUAGUGCCAAUUGAUCUAUUACCGUUAAUUAAUUGCCACUAAAGAUCGUUUUUGAUGUAGUGAUGGUUGGUUGGGGAAUAGACUGGUAAUCUGCUUAUAUGGACUCAGACAAUAAUCUUCUGCUUUUGCAGGGAUGCCUGGGAUGACAGCUUAUGCUGGAUUUUAUGAGGUUUGCUCCCCUAAGAAGGGAGAAACUGUGUUUGUUUCAGCUGCUUCUGGAGCAGUUGGUCAACUUGUUGGACAAUUUGCAAAGAUGUUAGGUUGUUAUGUUGUUGGUAGUGCUGGAAAUAAACAAAAGGUAAGUGCUUAAACAUUUCAUUCUUGAAUUUUAUUAGUGGCUUAUAAGUUAUCUUACUUAUCUUAAUCAUUGUUAAAUAAUCUAGCUAUCUCAUCUAUUCAUUAUUAUUAUUAAAGGUUGAUAUGUUGAAGACCAAGUUUGGUUUUGAUGAAGCUUUUAACUAUAAAGAGGAGCAGGAUUUAGAUGCAGCUUUGAAGAGGUAAGUAAUCUUAUAAAUUCCCACAAGAAAACACUAACUAAUAUGGAAAAAAAUAGUUUCCAGGGUGAAGGUGUUGGCAACGACUUCUUUUUUAACCUUAACGAUGUGGGGGGUUAGGCUUGACCCCUACCAUGUCUAUAACAUCCAAAAAGUUAAAAAAGUAGAGGGGGACAUGGACCUAACCUCUUGAUAGUGAACAACGAGGAUAAACUAAACAAUCUACAAAAAGACCAAGAUGACAUAGACUUUCAUACUAUAAGAAAAAUACACUGGUUCAAUUAACAAAAAAAUUAAAUUUGUCGUAUCUUCUCCUUAUGCUAAAGUUGCCACUUAUCUAGUAGAAAUAGUCCCUUCACCUCAGAAGAAUUGUGUGUGGUGGAUUGAACAUUAAGGGCAUAUAUGAAAAGAUAGCUAAUAUAACGCUAAAGGUAUAUAUGAACUGAUAGUAUAACGGAAAAGCAAUACUAGACCUUUAAUUUUCAAUAAUAUAGGAGUAAAUAUGACCUUUUUUUCGUAUUGGUUUAUUCUAUUAGGUACUUCCCUGAUGGAAUUGCCAUUUACUUUGAGAAUGUUGGAGGUAAGAUGCUUGAUGCAGUUCUUGUGAAUAUGAAACUUCAUGGUCGUAUUGUUGUGUGUGGAAUGAUUUCACAAUACAACCUUGACAAGACUGAAGGAGUGCACAACUUGUUUUGCCUUAUCGCGAAACGAAUCCGUAUGGAAGGAUUUCUUGUUUUUGAUUACUAUCAUCUUUAUCCUAAAUAUUUGGAAAUGAUCAUUCCACAAUAAAGGCUGGUAACAUUGUGUAUGUGGAAGACAUAGCUGAAGGUUUUGAAAGUGCUCCUAGUGCUCUAGUUGGUCUCUUCUCUGGUCUCAAUGUUGGAAAGCAAAUUGUGAUGAUUUCAUGUGAAUGAAUGGAUUUGGAUCUUUUCCAUUUUCUCUCAAGUUUUUACUUGAAAGGAAAGAUAUUGUGUCAUGGUUAAAUACUUAAAUACGCAAACAUUUCUAUCAUGUAUUUACUAAUUCUCUGUGUGGUUUGAAAUAAUUAGUCAUUAAUUGAUAGUUUCAUACUAGAUUUCAAGUCAGAUAUACUUAGGUACAUGUACUUUUGCUGCUAGAUACAUUCUGAAAUGCAGAUACAUAGGAAGAGAGUGAGCGAAAGAAGAGAAAGGAGAGAUGAGAGAGGCGAGAGGCAAGCGAAAGAGUUAGUGUAUUCCAGAUAUAUGCAAAUUACACUAGAUACAUAUAAUAUGAGUGAGAGAGUCAGUGUUUCCAAAUACAUAUAAAUUAUCCUUGAAUACAGUAUAUCAUGGAUGUGUCGCAUACAUGUGUUUGGGAACUGAAAUCUGACACAAACAAUAAUUUCAAAGAGGCACAUAAUUAAACUCUAAAUUAAAGAAAUUCUUAUCGUUUGCCCUUGAACUUAUUUAGGCAAAUAACAAUAAUUUUUAAUAAAAUAAACAGCAAUAAAAUACAUGGUGAAUAGCAAUGAUCAUUAGAGUAAAUAUAAUGUAUUUUAUUAAUAUUGAAAUAUGUGAAAAGAAAAAUAUUAUAGUGUAGCACAAGAUUGUAGGAGGUGUUUAUGAAAAAGAGAAGGGCA
Molecule: long non-coding RNA, 82191 nt
Filed under: Solanum tuberosum (potato)
Lineage: Eukaryota; Viridiplantae; Streptophyta; Magnoliopsida; Solanales; Solanaceae
Description: long non-coding RNA (STUB_LNC011099)
Source: RNAcentral